AUACCUCUAGCCGCUGCAGCUCUCCAAGCUCCGGUGCUAUACCUCCCAUGAGGGAAUUCCAACUGAGAUCAAGACUUUCAAGAGACUGUAAAUGCCCCAUCUCAGUAGGAAUACUCCCUGCGAAUCUAUUCUUGCUCAUAUUCAAGAAUAUCAGUUUUGAGCACUUGCCAAGCUGUUUAAGAAUUGUUGCACUAAAGUUGUUCGCGGCCAGGCCAAGCCUUUGGAGAUCAGAUAGCGCUGCGACAUCAAAAGGAAUAUCACCUGAUAGUUUGUUAUCGUUGAGUUCAAGUUCAAUCAACUUUAAAUUUCCCAAUUCUUUUGGAAUUCUCCCAACUAGUUGAUUUGACGACAGGUCAAGAGCUUGUAGAUGAGUUGCCUUUCCAAGAGCUGCUGGUAUUUCUCCAGAAAUCUUGUUUCCAGAAAUCUUGAAGGUUGUCAGAUUGUUAAACUGCUCCCAUUUCAAUGAAAGUUCACCAUGCAAUUCAUUAUCACUCAAAUCCAUGUAGUACAAAUGAGGAUGUGUGCCAAAAGCUUCAGAUAUGUUUCCACUAAGUUGGUUUCUCUCAAGUCUGAGUCUCAACAAGCUGCUGCAAUUUCUCAAGCUUUUUGGGAUAGGUCCCGUGAAAUAAUUGUCCAACGCACCAAAAUAUGAAAGUAAUUCACCAAGGCACACAUCUCGUGGAAGAUUACCAGACAAUCUAUUAGAAUAUAUUUGUAACGAGUACAAAUGUGUAAGGUUUUUCAUUUCUGGAGGAAUGGGACCAAAAAGAUUGUUAAUCCCAAGGUGAAGUAUUAAGCUUUUUAAAUUGCCUAGAGAUGUUGGUAUUGUACCAAUUAGAUUAUUAGAUGACAAAUCUAAAGUGGUUAGGUUUUCCUAAGUUUCCUAAAGAUGCUGGUAUUGUACCAGUUAGAUAAUUAGAUGACAAAAGUAAACUGGUGAGAGAUCUCAUGUUUCCUAUGGAAGCAGGGAUUGGACCUUCAAAAUUAUUUCUGGACAAGUGAAGGGUAGAUAGAUGUUCAAGCAUUCCUACUUCCCUAGGUAUGAAACCAGAGAGUUCGUUGCCGUGAAGGUAAAGAUACGACAAGUUGCUUAAGUUUCCUAUGGACGUAGGAAGAGCACCACUAAGGUUGUUAUCUGACAAAUCAAGCAAAUAAAGAGAUACCAAUUUUCCAACUUCUGGUGGUAUGUUGCCAGAAGUGCUAUUUGAAGACAAAUCAAGUUUGAUAAGGUUACCUAUAUGUGAAGGAAUGGACCCAUAGAGCGAGUUGUUGCGAAGGAUAAGCACAGUCAAGUCAGGAAAGGAAGAGAAUCGGAGACUAUUAAGCGUACCUCUCAAACUAGAAUUGGACAGACUUAUGUUGCUGACACUACCAGACUUGUCGCAACUGAUUCCGAACCAGUUGCAAGGGCUGUCUCCAGCCCAAGAUGACAGGAGAGACUGGCUUUGGUUGUCAAGAGUGACUUUCCAUUCUAGAAGAGCUUCCGCUUCCUUCCUUCCAUUUGCUACUUCAGCAGCUCCAGUACUAGCCGAGUAAGCAAAAGAAGGAAAGAAGGAAGCAUAAGCAAGUAAGGAAAAAAACAAGGAAGGUAUGGAUAAGAGCAAGAUAUGGGAAGCCAUGGCCUUAGUGGUUUAAUUUCUUAAAAAGGAUGUAUAAAAUGAUUAGCCCUGCAUACGUGUAUAUAUAUAUAUAUAUGUAUAUAUAUAUAUAUAUAUAUAUAUGCAGGAAUUCAUUUGUCUUGGUCAUGAUCAAAGAUUUCUUAAGAAGAUAGACAGCUGCGUCUUAAUUGGACGUCUUCCAUUCUUGAUUGGAUGUCUUCGGGCUUCAGCUAUGGACCUACGGUGAUGUUUCCCAUGAAAUUUCGAGUGUGGAACAACAUUUACGUGGUUAAUGCUUCCUUUCUUUGGUCUCUUAUCAAUCAAAUGAAUCAAAACUUAUGCUUUCAAGUGUGUUAUGCUUUUGUUUUAUAUAUAUAUAUAUAUAUAUAUAUAUAUAGAAACAAUAAUGGAAUGACAUUUACAUAUAUUCAAGUCAAUCACAAGUCAUCCCACUCGAAGACUUCAGGAUAGGGCCAUUAAUUUAAAACAAUGCAAUUAGGGGGCAAUGCAAAAGUGCAAAACCAUGGCUAAUACUUUAUUCGGUAUUAUUAAAGGUUUCUAUUUUUUUAUAUAGUAUAAUAACCUUUUAAUAAAAACAAAACUUUCAUAAAUAAAAUUUAAACAUUUUAUGUGUCUCCACAUAGUUAUGAUAUUGUUUUUAUUUUUGAAGUUUCUGACUAAUAACAAAUAUAGUUAUUUUUCAUUUAAAGAUUUAUUUAUUUUAUUUAUUAUUAUUAGGCUUUUCUCGUUUUCAUGUCUCAAAAAAAAAAAAAAAGUUUUGUUCUCAUGAGAUGGUCAAAAAGAAGCUUUACUUGUUUUCAAUUAAGUUCCCUGACAAUGAUCUUCCCUGCAUACAUUUAUACAUGGGAGCCACAAGCGCGGAAACAUCAAAGGAUUCAGCUAUCUUUAGACUUAAGCUUGGUCACUUCAGUUGACUCGUUGACCAAUAAUAGAGUUUUAUUAGAUGAGUUGGUUUUGAUUAGCUUGGGGUUUUGGUGUUAUAUUUAAUUCUUGUAUUAAAACAAUCAAAUUAUAUUAUGAAAUUAAUUAAUUUAAGUGUUUAAAAUUUGAUUUUUAUUUUAUUUUAUUGAGAAUUGAGAUUGAAAAAUAUUCAAGUGAUCAAGAUGCAUUGAUAUGUGGAAAAACUAAAUCCCAUAAAUAAAUUUUAAAAAAAAAUCAAUUUUUUUUUAUAAAAAAUAGCUACCAAGAAUAAUAAUAAAAAAAAUACAAAGUAAACUAAUCACACCAAAGUCCAAAAACUUUGAUUUUUUUCAUAUUGAUUCCUUUAUUUUUUGGACAAAUUGACUCACUUGCUUCAUCAUUUACAAAAAAAAAAACAAGUCAUUUCAAAUUUUGAUAGGUCAUUUAACAUUAAUUAUUCCAAUAGUCAUCAAUUUACAACUUUUAUUAUAUAUAUAUAUAUAUAUAUUUAGCAACUCAAACAAAUGAAUUUGCCUAUUAAUAUAUUAACAGUUUACAUAAUAAACUAUUAAGAAUGAAUAUGUAUUUUAUUUUAUGAAAAUGAAAUUCACAGAUAAUUUGUAUUGUUGAAAAAGUUAUAAUAAUUAUAGUCAAAAUUAAACCCUUGAUUAUCAUAUUGUAUAAGUUUUGCAAGAUAUAAAUUUGGAACAAUGAAAAUACUAAGAUACAAAUUACUAGAUUGUAUAAUUUUAUAUUUUUUUAAAAUUCAUAAAAUCGGUUUGAGUUUACUAAUUUUAUCGAGUUUAAAUAAAUUUGAUGGAUUUUACUAGUUUUAAAAUUUUAAUUUAAUUUUACAUAUUAAAUAUAUAUUAAUUAUAUAAUUUUACAAGUCACACCAUGAUUUUUUUUACCACUAUUAAUUAUGUUGGCGGAAGAAAAGGCAAAGAAACAGCUCUUAAAGAAAAAAGGAAAUCAAGUACGUCAUAAAUGAUACUAGGCAGAUGAAGUCAAGAUAAGGUUCUGUUGGCAAAAGAAAAAGGCAAAGCAAAGCAAAGCAGAAUAAUCCAUCAAAAUUAGUCAUUAAAUUACAGCUCAGAGAGUGAAUUGUGACUAUUAGUCUGGCUGCUAUUCUACAGUCAUGGGUGAAACAAUCAGGCAGAAAAUAGACUGCUCUGGCGACCUUUUCUUCUUCUUUUUAUUUUAUUAUCAUUUCUUUCUUCUUCUUCUUUUUUUUACAUUAGGGCAAUUUUCUUAGACAUGCUGCUGUACGUCAUAUGAUAAUUAUUCUUCAAAAUUAAUAAGUUUCAUAUUCAGCUUUGCGUAAGGAUCAGUGAGUAACGAUGCAAUACUUUUCAUCGAUUUUCCUUUGUGUAUAUUCAUUUCCAUCUUGUAUAGGAGAUCUGUAACUGAUAAAUUGGUAUUUUCAAUACUCAACUUGUCAAGUGACUAGUUGAAGAUUUUACUUGAGGUUUUUCUGUUAGUAUAUCUGCUAUAUAAACAGUCUUCAAAUAUUACUGAAGGGAGUGAAUCAUCACAUCUUUCAAUUCUGCCAUGGAAAAUGGCUUUGACAAUGGAAGCCAUUGAAUUAUGAAGCCAUUAUGUUAAAUAAUAUUCGUUACCAAUAUAUCUUUAUAGAUUUACUGGACAUCUACCUCCAGAGUCGUGUCACAAGAAGUGAUGAAGAUAAAUUCAACAUAGCUAAAAAAAGCUGUAUUUUUUAGAAAUAGAAUAUACCAAAUGGUAAAUUUAAGGUUUGUCCUAAUUUCAAAUUUGACACCUCUGCUUAUUAGAACCGCAAACUUUUGGUCCCUACCAUAUCUCAUACGAAUCUAAUCCUUUUUUUUUCUUCAGAAAAUGAUGGCAUAGAAAUUGAUGCAGCAAGUGAGAAUUAUCAAAUAUCUUAUCAUUGCUAUAUAUUUUGCCAGGGUACCACUUGAGCUGUAAGCUCAGGUGGAGCAUGGACUUGUAAUUAGGGUUACCUGGAUUAUGACAUCAAGUACUGAAAAUAGUGGGGCUACUGUGGUGGCCAUGGAUCUGAUUCACCUAAAUAAAUUCUAUCUGCAUGUGUAUCAUAAAUGGCACAAGUCGAGGAGUGCUGAUUCUACAGCCUGAACAACCAAAUUCACAACAUCUUCCUCUCGCAAAGGGCAUUAAUUUAUAUGAUUAGGUGCAGCGCGACGAGGAACAUAAGAACAAAGAAUUAUGACAUUUACAGGGUGCAAAACUUGUCUGAUUGACGAGGAGCUGAUAAUUUAUCAACACUCCUGACCCUGCCAUUUUCACCGUUUUCUACUUAUACAUUAAAGGCCCGGAUCUUGAGACUGCAAACCGUGGUAGUGGGCUACGACCUGUGCUCCCAGAAGCUGAGCCUUCGACAAGUUUAACUUUUCUGCUUGAACUAUAAUCCAAAGGCCCAGAGCGGCGAACAUUGCUGCGAAGGCUUCCUCUAUCCAUAUCGUACAAAUGGUUCUGGCUAUGGGAUGAUGACCCCUUAAAAUAACCUGAAUCAUUAACACCAUGCUGUGGUGUUGAGUCUCCACGAGGCUGCUUCACUGCAGGUGAUGUGUGAGAUAGUGAUGCAGCAGGUGAAUGGCGGGAUGAGACACUUAGUAGUGCCAGAGGCAUGGAUGGAGAAUUUGAGUAGUACUGGCUAUAAAUUGAACGGAGAAUUGCGUAAGGAACAUAGGCUUCGAGGGAGUUUCUUGGAAGAUACGGUGAGAUCUCACAAAGUUGGUCCAAGAAAAUCAGCUUUGCUACAAGAUUAGAUCUGCACAGAAAGGGGAGAUGAGAUUGAGAUGCAUGAAAUGAUGAGAAAGGAAACAAAUGUCAUAAAGAUAAUCAAAUAGACUAUUCAGAUCAACAUUCCUUUCUCAGUAUUUGAGCUGAAAGAAUUAUUGAUGGAGCCACCCUAGAGAUUUAACUCGAGUUUUUAAGGAAUGAUGCUUGUGGUUUAAAAUAAUUACCAUGAGAUUUUAUGCAAGCAAAAAUCGAUGAAAAUAUGGAACUUGUGUGCAUGUCUGUGUAUUUAUGUGAGGGGCAUGACAGGCAUUGCAUGUUUACCUAUUGGCUUCACUCCAAGAAUCUAGCACAAUACCAGUUGCAAAUUUGACAAAAAGCUGCAUUGCAGACUUUAUACUUGCUUCAGCAGACAAACGGCUAUGUAUUUCAGGAUCCAAAGCCUCAUCAAGAUGGCCAUUAGAGGGAGACUGUUGUCUCUGCUGAUGUUCGCGUUCCAAUCUCACCAACUCACUACCAGCAAUCACAGCACUCAUGCACCUGCAAAGAAUAUUCAAUUGUAAGGAAAAAAUUAAUAUUAAUAAUGGAUAAUAGAAACCAUUUCAUUUACUAGUAGUCAAAAAUGGCAAAUGCAUGACCCUAACUGUGAAUAAAGUUGCCCGGCGGGUGAGACAGAGAAGGCAAGAAGAGUUAAAUACUUCCUCGUAAGACCUCAUAACAGAAUAUACCAUGAUUAGUAGCAAAUGCAGUAGACCUUGGUUCAGUUCAGAAUUUAAAUAUGAUAGUUAAAUGGGAGAUGGCCAGUCACCCAAUCAAAAAUAAUUUGGAUAGAAAUGCCAGGUAUGGGCCACUGACUUCAGAUCACUAGCUCGUAUGCAAUACAUGUUCGAAGAAGCAUUUAACUUCUUGUGUUCAGGAGUAUAUCCAGACCCGUCAAUUCAACAAUAUGGCGGGACAAGAAAAACCAACCUUGCCAGACAAUGGAUAUUGUUGUUGAAGCCCCCUGUAUCAACAUUGAAGCCAGUAGUAUUCCAUAUAUUUGAUGUCAUGAAGGUGGCGAAUAAAUAAGGCAACAAUGUCCAAGAACCAUCAUUUUCACCCCCAACAUCCUCUAGAAUUGAUCUGAUCCAUUCUGAAUCAUGAUCUCCAACUAUAUUAAGACUGUUUGCCACCCCUCUUAUUCUUCUGAUUUCCUUCUUUUCAGAUAUUUCUUCAGGUAUAUGCUUAACCACCCCAGAAAGUAGUGAAUAUAUCAAGGGUGCACCCUCAUCAAGCACGACCCCAGCUGCCUCAGCAAGAAGCUGAGCAAAAGCAAGUGCAUGUCCUCCCUCAAUGCAAAAUCCAAUUACUGUGUCCAAGUCCACAAUCUGCCUGGAACAUGCCUCUCUUUCUAUUCUGUCACCAGAAUGCAUGCUGCCAGCAACUGCCUCUAACACUUCAUGGUUUGACCGUAAUGAUGUGUCAAUGCAAUUCAAGAGUGCUGCUGUGUGCUCUUUCAUCAUUCUGUCUAGCCUGUCAACGCCAUAGCCACCAAAUACACGAACAAAGGCCUGCAAUUCUCUGAGAUCAGUGACCGACUCUGCAAAAUAUCCACCAACAGGCCUCGUGCUUUUAAAGCAUUUGUGGAUUGGUGUAAAAAGGAUUCCAGCACCUGAUACAUCCUUGACAAUGUUUUCUAUGUACCAGUUGCAGACAACUUCAGUGGCCGACCCAGUAAGCUGCUCUGCUGGUUUUUCAAACAAGUGAAGAGAAGACACAGGUCCUGAGAAGGCCUCAAUGUUUUCAAAUUCCUUGUUCACAGUUUCCCAGAUCGAUUCAGCAAAAACAUUCAGUUCCUGCAUGUCACCCAGACCCAAUCUUACCCCAUCAUUCAACAUAUUCUAAACCUCUUCAUCUCUCUCCAUAGUAUAUGCAUCCUUUGGCUGUUUCUGCUUAGUAAACCUGGAAUUCCCCUGUUUAAUACCCGAUUCCAUUGAUUCUGAAGAGCUAUCUUCCUGGUGCUCCACUGUUUCUUGAAUGCUGCCGGUUUUGGAUUGAAGUUUAACUUUUCUUCUACUCCUUCUAAGUACCAUGUGGUGAGCAGGAUUUGUCUGAUCAAUUGAUGCCCCUGUUAUGUCAAAAUUUGUGCUUCACAAUUCUUUUCCAAUGCAUUACACGCUGCACUGAUGCUGUUACCAAUGGAAGGGCUGUCUGCUGACGUGAGAAGACCAUGUUUGAUUUCUGGGAACAGCAACUCCACUGGUAGAUCCAAAUCCUUGCUGCACAAUUUUUUUCCCAUACAUUAGACUCUGAACUGAUGCUAUUGUCAAUGGCGAAAUUCUCUGAUAGCAUGUGAAGGUCAUCUUUGAUUUCUGGGAACAUAAAUUCAACUUGUAGAUUCAGUAGAUGAUGUUGUGAGGUCUGGUAGUCGUUACACAUCAUCUCACAUUCACCCUCACGUUUUAAAUUUAAUGUAAAAUAAUUAUUCAAUUUAAAAAUCUAAACUCUAACAUCAAUUUAAACAACCAUUCAACCUAAAAAUAUCCCUUAAACUACAUGUAAAAGCAGAAACAAAUAAAACAAAAAAUUAUCUCUGGAAUUAAAUCAAUGAAUACCAAGAUACUUCAAAUUGUCAAAACAUUAUGAUAUUAUUAAAGUUAAAUUAUGUAUUAUUUUCACCCUUAUUAAUUUUAAGCAAAUAUUUUUUAUAAAAAAUUAAGUGAUAAAAUAGUUUGUUUUUAAAAAAUAAAUAAUAAUUAAGAAUUUAAAUUCAAUAAAUACCGAGAAAAUAAAUGCAGUAUUUAUUUUUUAUUUUAGUUUUAUAAUAUACAAUUUUAAAUUCAAUUUUAAUCAAUAAAAAAUUUUAAGCACCGGUUAUGAAAAACUAUUAAAAUUUAUAAAAUUUGAGUUAGGUAUUUUUAAUGAGUGUAAGAGAUAUUACUAUUUCUGUUUGAAAAUAAUUAAUAAAGAAAAUAAAAUAAAUAUAGUAAUAAUAGAUAUCACAAUAUUUAAAUUAAAACAUGAUACAUAUAAUUAAAUUAUUAAAUAAUUUAUUAUAUAUGAAUAAUAGAUAAUUAAAUUUUGUUUUGCCACCUGCUUAUAUAUAUAUAUAUGAAUGGUUACGUGAUAUGUUGUCUAAAAUUUCCUUUUGAAUAGUUACAGAGAAGAAGGAAUGUUCAAUUGCUUGUAGCUAGACAACUAUAGUUUGCCGUUGUUGAAGUGAAGUUUCUUUUGAAAAAAAAAAAAACCUUGUCUUUGGGCUUCACCUAUCAAUGGUGACAUUCGCUAUGAAAUCUCAAAUUUGGAAAUUUUGUCAAUUAUUUAAGAAAAUAGAAAGCAGUGGCCACUUCUUUUAGGACAAGUUUGUUUUAAUUGUGGAAAUAAAGGGAGUGGUUUUUAUUAUAUCAUCAAGAUUUUUAGUUGUAUUACUGAUUUGGCAAUAUUUAAAGAAGCUUAUUAUCAUUACCAAUUAAAAAAUAAAAUCAAGAGCUUAUUGUCGCACCCGACAUCGCGGCGGCCCUAAAAAUUAAUUCUCUUGAAUUACAGAAAAAGAACAGAUUUUUGGCAUCCAGUUCUUUUAGGGGAAAAGGUAUUGUUUGAAGAGUCGCCACCUAGUAUUAUGGUCACUAGGAACCCUAACUGGUCAACAGAGAUUCUAUGGCUCGGGAUUGGUUACGUAAAAGGGAAGAUAUUAUCACCUCUUAAACGUUCUGCCUGAGGCAGACUGCAUUGCUGUUUUAUCUUAAAUUGUUAAAUGUUUAUUAAUUUAUGCUAUGAUGAUUUGUUUAUAAUAUUCAUGACUCUGACGCUAGUGAAUAUUCAAGCUCGAAUAAUUCCAACUCUUGAGUUGGUAAAAAUUCGUAGCUACAAAAAUUAAAUUAAAUCAAUAUAUUUUUAUUCCCUACUCUAGCAUCCGUGAAUAAAUAAAUAAAAAACAAAUUUAUUAUUAUUUUUUAUUUUUGCAUGCACAUAUUUUUUUUAUUUUUCUAGCUAAAUAAAAUAAAAUACAACGAAUAAAAAUAAUAUAAAUUUAAACCGGUAUUUUUAUUCUUGACUCUGACGUCAGUGAAUAAACCAAUAAAUUUAUAUUAUUUUUAUUCAUGCAUACAUUUUUUUUAUUUUUUAUUUUUCUAUUUUUUUAAUAUAUUUUUUAUGUUUUUUGGAAGGGCUGGGCCUGGCCCGGCCACUGGCCCAAGCCAGUGGCCCGGUUGGGCUGCAGGCACGCGUGGUUCAGACCACGCGUGCGCUGCACAGGGUGAAGGUAAUUAAAUUACCUUCGCCCCUGUUCUUUCUCUUUUAAUCUAAUGUGCAGAAACGAAGAUAAAAAGAAAGUCUUACCUGGCUAUUCGAAGGCGCAGGCGAAAGCAACAGUUCGAGCACUCUCGGAGAAUUCUCUCUUCCUCCUCCUCUCAGUCUCUUCCCCUCUGUUCGUCUGCUGUUCCUUUUCUUUUUGUUUUUUCCCGGUUUUUUCAGUCUUCGUGAUGAAGAACAGAGGGCGUUGCUGGCUUCUCUUUUCGAAUUUGGGUCUGGGUUUUUUGCUCUGUAUGUGGCUUGCGUUUUUUUGCUCUGGUUUUCGGUCUGUGUUUCUCUGGUUUUUUGCCGUCUGUGGUUGCUAAGAAACAGACGAAGACGAUGAUAUAUGUAGGUGUGGUGGCUGGAAAAAAAAACUUCCCCCACCUCUGUUUCGUUCUUUCUCUGUGAUCUCUCUGUUUUUUCCCUGCCGCUUUUCCUUUGUUUAUUUUUUCUCGUUUCUGUUCUCUGAGAAGAAACAAGGAAAACACCUUUAUUCUGGUUCGCCCUCUGUCUUCGUUUUCUGCCGAUCGUGGCUUUUUUUCUUUUUUCCCUCCCUCUUUUUUUUUGUUUCGUUGUUUUCUCCGGCUUUAUAGCCACAGAAUUCCACCGUUACCAGGUAAUUAAUCGACUGUUAUUGCAGGAGUAAUGGUGGCGGCCGGCAGCUGAAGCGUUGAAGAAGAUGAACAGUGCUGUGUUCAAUGGCCAUUUGCAUUUUGGUCCUUGGAAUUCUGAAAUCGUGCAAUCAAGCCCCUGGAUAAAAUUUAACUUUGGACCCCUUUAUUUCGGCGCUUUUCCAAUGUAGUCCUUGGAUGUUCAAUUUCGAAAUUUGGACCCCAAACCUUAAUAGUUCUUCAAUUAAGCCCCUUAAUAAGUUAAUUUAAUUAAAUCCAAAGUCCAAUUAAGUCUAAAACUUAUCAAUUCUCUAAUUAAACCCCUGAUUGAAUUAAUAAAAUUAAUUACAAUCUUAAUUAAGUCUCCAAACUUAUCAAUUUUUCAAUUAAAUCCUUAACUGGAUUAAUUAAAUUAAUUCCAAGCUUAAUUAAGUCUCAAAACUUAUUAAUUCUCCAAUUAAAUCCUUGAUUGGAUGAAUUAACUUAAUUUCAAGCUUAAUUAAGUCUAAAAAUUUAUCAAUUCUCCAAUUAAACUCUUAAUUGGAUUAAAUAAAUUAAUUUCAAGCUUAAUUAGAUUAAUUACAAAGUUUAAUUAAACCCCAAAACUUCCAUUCAUAUUGCCCUUAACCCAAAAUUUAAUUUAUACUUCAUUUAUUUUAUUUUACUUGUUUUUUCCAUUAUCAUUAUUUUUUUCAUCAAUUUUUUUAUCCUUUUUAAUAAAUAAAAUAAUAAUAAAGAUAAAAUAAUCAAAAAUUGAGUUAUGACACUUAUUAUAAUUCAUUAUCGUUUAUUGGAAAACAAAAAAAAGGAGAAAAUAUGUUGAUUUCUUCCAUUGUUGCUAAAGAAAACUAAAAAUAUGUGAAAUAUUUCACCUGUCGAAUUUACGCUCGAAAUGGGAAAACUCUGUUUCUUGUUUCUGCAUAUAAUAUACAUAAUAAAUAGACGAAAUGUAAGACUUUGGACUGAAUAUCCAAGACAGAUAAUAACACCUCAUGAAAGGUGUGGGACUCUAUUACCAGCUGAGCUACUGGAUCCUUGACAGGAAAGUAUAUGUAAAAAUUCAACCCUUAACAUUCCUGUGAACCAGUUCAUCUUCCAAUUCUAUCGUGGAGAAUAGCUUUGGCAAUGGUGGCGAACGAGUUGUAAGCUCUGUAGCAACUUGUCGCAUUGUUGGCCGAUAAUGGGGAUCGGUCUGCAAGCAAGCAAACGCUAGUUUUGCAACGUGUGCCACACCGUCCGCAAGCUCGUUUUCAGGAGGUGGCAGGCGCUGGUCUAAAACAUCCUUCAAGAUUGUAUUGUGACCGCUUGGUGAUGAUGAGGAGGUGGAAGCAGAAAACAUCAGAGAUGAGAUGAAAUCGCCAGGAUGCUUUCCCAUCGUUACUUCCAAUGUUAAUACUCCAAAGCUAUAAACAUCACAUUUUUCAUCUACUUUCAUUGUGUAUGCCAACUCUGCAAAAGAGGCUGGUCAUGCUAUAUUUUGCCAAACUAAUUUACUGCAGCUAUUUUGUUUUCAAGUGAUUUUGUAAACUAACCUACUAUAAAAGGUGAUAUUGAAACUUAACUUCAUACCUGGAGCUGUAUACCCAAAGGUGCCAGCAAAUGAAGUCCAAUUGGAUGAGUCAGGCAUUAAGAUCCUCGUUUGUGCCGAAGUCAGAGACACGAGCCUCAUAUUCUGAAUCCAAAAGAACAUUGUUGCUGGAAAUGUCUCUAUGAAUAAUCGGAGGGGAGCAGUCAUGGUGCAUGUAGGAUAAAGCAUUGGCUACGCCUUUGAUAAGAUUCAUCCUUUUAUCCCAAUCCAUCUUUCCUGCUUGUUCCUUGUCGUUCAGUACCUUUCUUAAACUUCCCCUUUCCACAAAUUCAUAUACCAAAAAUGAGUGUUUGGCAUGCGAGCAGAAACCAUACAGCUUCACAAUAUUUCGAUGCCGUAUACCCAUUAAGACAUCAAUCUCGCUUCUAAAAGCUUUCAAGCUGCUCAUCUCAACUUCUGGUGUUCGGUGAAACUUCUUCACGGCAACGACUUGUUCUGAUGGAAGUGCAGCUUUGUAAACAACUCCAUACCCUCCAGUACCAAUGCAAUAUUUGGAGUCGAAUUCCUCAGUAGCCUCAAUGAUGUCCUCGUAGCGCAGUUCCCCUUCAGGGCACCAUCUCGCGUGAACAUCUCUUUGAGGUGUUUCCAUUAACCUUUUCUUUCUUCUGCUUUGGAAAAAGAUAAGAAAUCCUACAAUCAGGCCCAACAAACUACCCAGCAGAGAAAAUACUGUCAAAAAGACAACUUUGGGGCCCUUCUUGUGCACAGUUUUGUUUUUCAUGAGAACAGAACAAGCCUCCAAACCGGGUAGCAUUCCCACACAGGUUGGUGUUGUUGCAAAUUGCUUCAAAUGGUGCCUCGCGAAAGGCUUUGAUGUCAGGAAUGAGACCCUCUAGCUUGUUAUAGGAUACAUCCACUUUAGUGAGGCCUUGCAGUCUACUAAAACUGGUUGGAAUUAGACCAGACAGCAUAUUGUGGGAGAGGUUCAGAAACUCUAGCUGCUGCAGCUGUCCAAGCUCCGGUGCUAUAUCUCCCAUCAGGGAAUUCCAACUGAGAUCAAGACUUUGAAGAGACUGUAAAGACCCCAUCUCAGCAGGAAUAUUCCCUGUGAAUCUAUUCUUGCUCAUAUUCAAGAAUAUCAGUUUUGAGCAGUUGCCAAGCUGUUUAAGAAUUGUUGCACUAAAAUUGUUCGCGGCCAGGUCAAGCCUUUGGAGAUCAGAUAGCGAUGUGAAAUCGAAAGGAAUAUCACCUGAAAGUUUGUUAUCGUUGAGUGCAAGUUCAAUUAACUUUAAAUUUCCCAAUUCUUUUGGAAUUCUCCCAACUAGUUGAUUUGACGAGAGGUCAAGAACUUGUAGAUGAGUUGCCUUUCCAAGAGCAGCUGGUAUUAUUCCAGAGAUUUUGUUUCCAGAAAUUUUGAAGACUGUCAGAUUGUUAAACUGAUCCCAUUUCCAUGAAAGUUCACCAUGCAAUUCAUUAUCACUCAAACCCAUGUAGUACAAAUAGGGAUGUGUGCCAAAAGCUUCAGAUAUGUUUCCACUAAGCUGGUUUCUCUCAAGUCUGAGUCUCAACAAGCUGCUGCAAUUUCUCAAGCUUUUUGGGAUAGGUCCCGUGAAAUAAUUGCCCGACGCACUAAAAUAUGAAAGUAAUCCACCAAGGCACACAUCUCGUGGUAGAUUACCAGACAAUUUAUUAGAAUAUAUUUGUAACAAAUAUAAAUGUGUAAGAUUGUUCAUUUCUGGAGGAAUGGGACCAAAAAGACUGUUAUUCGCAAGGAGAAGUUUAGAUAAGAUUAUUAAAUUUCCUAAAGAUGCUGGUAUUGUACCAUUUAGAUUAUUAUAUGACAAAUCUAAAGAAGUGAGAUAUCUCGUGAGGUUUCCAAUAGACGCAGGUAUUUUACCAGUGAGAAAAUUUUGUUUUAAUUGAAGGAAAUUGAGAGAUUUCAUAUUUCCUAUGGAAGUAGGGAUUGGACCUUCAAAAUUAUUAUCGGACAACUGAAGGGUUAAUAGGUCUUCAAGCAUUCCUACUUCUCUAGGUAAGAAACCAGAGAGUUUGUUUUUGUAAAGGUAAAGAAAAGACAAGUUGCUUAAGUUUCCUAUGGACGUAGGAAGAACACCACUAAGGUUGUUAUUUGACAAAUCAAGCAAAUCAAGAGAUCUCAAUUUUCCAACUUCUGGUGGUAUGCCACCAGAAAGUUGAUUUCCAUUGAGAUAAAGAUCAGUUAAGUGGCUCAAAUUGCUUAUAGACGCAGGCACUAAUCCUCCGAGAUCAUUUUCAUGCCAAAUUAUUUGAGAAAGUGAACUCAACAUUCCUAUUUCAUUAGGGAUGGAGCCACCGAUAUGGUUUGCAGACAGGGUAAACACUCUAAUGCUUUUCAUUGUGCUUAUUUCUGAUGGAAUGUUGCCAGAAAUGCUAUUGUAAGACAAGUCAAGGAUGGAGAGGUUAGAAAGGUUACCUAUAUGUGAAGGAACGGACCCAUAGAGGGAGUUGUUGCGAAGGAUAAGCUCCAUCAAGUUAGGAAAGGAAGAGAAUCGGAGACUAUUAAGCGUACCUCUCAAACUAGAAUUAGGCAGGCUUAUGUUGGUAACACUACCGGACUUGUCGCAACUGAUUCCGACCCAGUUGCAAGGGCUGUCUCCAGCCCAAGAAGACAGGAGAGACUGGCUUCGGUUGUCAAGACUGACUUUCCAUUCUAGAAGAGCUUCCGCUUCCUUCCUUCCAUUUGCUAUUUCAGCUCCGGCAGCCGAGUAAGCAAAAGAAGUAAAGAAGGAAGCAUAAAAAAGUAAGGAAAAAAACAAGGAAGGUAUGGAUAAGAGCAAGAUUUGGGAAGCCAUGGCCUUGGUUGUUUACUUUCUUGAGGAUGUAUAAAAUGAUUAGCCCUGCAUACGUAUAUAAUGGGAGCCAUAAGGUUGGAAUACCCUUUGUGCAGGAAUUCGUUUGUCUUGGUCAUGAUCGAAAAUUUCUUUAGAAGAUAGGCAGUGGCUUCUUAAUUGGACGUCUUCCAUUCUUUUUUAUUAUUAUUAUUAUUUCUAACGUAGAUAUUCGCAUCAAUUUAUAUGCACCUCGACUAAUUUAAUGGGUUCUAAAAUUAAUAGCCAUAUAAGUUUUCAGUGACCUUAAAUAGACUCGAAUUUGUGACUAUUAGGAAGCAAACCUAAGACCUGACAAAUUGAGCUACCCCUCAGGAUUGGAGGUCUUCCAUUCUUUUUUUAUUAUUAUUAUUCACGUGGGGUAUCCGGAUCAGUUUGCGCGCACCUCGACUAAUCCUCAUGGGCCUUAAAGUUAUCAAUCAGGUAAGCUUCCAGUGACCAUAAAUAUUAACAACCAUAAAACUCGAUCUUGAGAUCAUAAAAAAAAAAAAAUCUCUUGAUUUUAGGUUUUUAUUACUAGACUAGCUAGUAGACGGUAAAUGUCUUCCAUUCUUGGAUGUCUUCUGGUUUCAGCUAUGGAUGGACCUACGGUGAUGUCUUCCAUUCACGUGGUUAAUGUUUUUGUUAUAUCCUUCUUCCUUUCUUUGGUCUCUUAUCAAUCAAAUGAAUCCACUUCGAAAAGUUUCUUUGGAAGAUUUCUUUUUUUUGUUAAUUUUUUUAUAGAAACAAUUAGCGCAAAGAAUAUUGGAUGAAAACUUGCAGAAAGAAAAUUAGGAGCAUUGGCCACCAGUGAGCUGUAGAUAUUCAAGUCAAUCACAAGUCAUCCCACUACAAGACCUUAGGAUAGGGCCAAUAAUUUAAACCAGUAAAGGUGCAAUUAGGGGGGGGGAAUGCAAAAGUGCAAAACCAUGCCUAAUAAUUUAUUCGGUAUUAUUAAAGUUUUCUAUUUUUUUAUAGUAAUAACCUUUUAAUAAAAACAAAACUUGUGAUUGACUUGGUCAACACCUCAUUUUGUUUGUCUUGGUCAGUGGUCAUGAUCGAAAAUUUCUUAUGUGGACACGUAAAAAGAAGAUAGACAGUUGCGUCUGAAGAGGGGUAGAAUACUAUGGUCUUCCAUACAAUAAUUGCGUGAUAGGAGGAGCACGUGUAUUUGUCAUAAUUAAUUAUUAGAAUAUUUAUGUUGGGGUUUCAGCUAUGGAUCCAUUAAUUCUCGGAUGAUUUUAUUUUUUUUAAUGAAAUACAAGAGAUGUAUUAUUUUGCACCAUUAUGUGCUUAUAUAAUAAGAUUAUUAUAUUCCAUGAUUAAAAAAAAAAUACGAAACUCUGCAUUGGGUGAUCAUCCUUCAAGCAUUUUUAUAUUUUUUUCUUGUUGUUUCUUCUAGUUUUUCAUUGCUUGUGUUAAACAACAAAUCUAACUCUAUCUCUCUCCGUAAUUACCCGAAUUAUUUUAGGUUUUAUCUAUGAUGUGAAAUCCGAACUUUACAAUUAAUAAUAGCUGGCUUGUACCCCACCAUUCCAUGACUCCUGAUUAUUAUUAAGAGAUGGAGACUAUUUGUAUACUGUCGGUCCUUGACUUGGAUGUGAAUAGCGUGUUUAUUUUUCUUCAUGUUUUUGAAAAAAAUAUUUUUUCUAAAAAAAAAAACAAGGCAUUCUUGUUUCGAAUAGGAAACAAGAAUUUAUUAUUUAAUAGAUUUUUCCGUUUUAAUAUCUUAGAGAGCUUCUGCCUGUUUCCUUCCAUUUGCUACUUCAGCUCCAGUACCUGAGUAAGCAAAAGAAGUAAAGAAGGAAGCAUAAGCAAGUAAAGAAAUAAACAACAAAAGGUAUGGAUGAGAGCAAGAUUUGGGAAGCCAUGGCCUUGGUGGUUUACUUUCUCAUGGAGGAUAUAUAAAAAAUGAUUUGCCCUGCAUGUGUAUAUAAUUUCCUAUGGGAAUUCAUUUGUUUUAACUGCCAUUCUACAGCCAUUGGUGAAAACAAUCAGGCAGAAAAUGGACUGCUCUGUCGCCCUUUUCUUCUUCUUUUUAUUUUAUUAUUAUUUCUUUCUUCUUCUUCUUCUUCUUCUUCACAUUAGGGCAAAAGAAAUACUGUAUAGGAGAUCUAUGACUGAUAAAUUGGCGUGUAGGUAUUUUCAACACUCAACUUGUCAAGUGACUUGUUGGAGAUUUUAAUUCAGGUUUUUCUGUUAGUAUAUCUGCUAUAUAAACAGUCUUCAAAUAUUACUGAAGGGAGUGAAUCAUCACAUCUUUCAAUUCUGCCAUGGAAAAUGGCUUUGACAGUGGAAGCCAUUGAAUUAUGAAGUCCUGUACGUCAAGUAAUAUUCGUUACCAAUAUAUCCUUAUAGAUUUACUGGACAUCUACCUCCAGAGUCGUGUCACAAGAAGUGAUGAAGAUAAAUUCAACAUAGCUAAAAAAAGCUGUAUUUUUUAGAAAUAGAAUAUACCAAAUGGUAAAUUUAAGGUUUGUCCUAAUUUCAAAUUUGACACCUCUGCUUGUUAGAACCGCAUACUUUCGGUCCCUACCAUAUCUCAUACGAAUCUAAUCCUUUUUUUUUCUUCAGAAAAUGAUGGCAUAGAAAUUGAUGCAGCAAGUGACAAUUAUCAAAUAUCUUACCAUUGCUAUAUAUUUUGCUAGGGUACCACUUGAGCUGUAAGCUCAGGCGUAGCAUGGACUUGUAAUUAGGGUUACCUGGAUUAUGACAUCAAGUACUGAAAAUAGUGGGGCUACCGUGGUGGCCAUGGAUCUGAUUCACCUAAUAAAAUUCUAUCUGCAUGUGUAUCAUAAAUGGCACAAGUCGAGGAGUGCUGAUUCUACAGCCUGAGCAACCAAAUUCACGACAUCUUCCUCUCGCAAAGGGCAUUAAUUUAUAUGAUUAGGUGCAGCGCGACGAGGAACAUAAGAACAAAGAAUUAUGACAUUUACAGGGUGCAAAACUUGUCUGAUUGACGAGGAGCUGAUAAUUUAUCAACACUCCUGACCCUGCCAUUUUCACCGUUUUGGGAAGAUAUGGGAAGCCAUGGCCUUGGUGGUUUACUUUCUUAAGGAGGAUGUAUAAAAUGACUAGCCCUGCAUACGUAUAUAUAUGCAGGAAUUCAUUUGUCUUGGUCAUGAUCGAAGAUUUCUUAAGAAGAUAGACAGCUGCGUCUUAAUUGGACGUCUUCCAUUCUUGAUUGGAUGUCUUCGGGCUUCAGCUAUGGACCUACGGUGAUGUUUCCCAUGAAAUUUCAAGUGUGGAACAACAUUCACGUCGUUAAUGCUUUUGUUAUACCCUUCUUCCUUUCUUUAGUCUCUUAUCAAUCAAAUGAAUCAAAACUUAUGCUUUCAAGUGUGUUAUGCUUUUGUUAUUUUUAUAUAUAUAUAUAUAUAUAUAUAUAGAAACAAUAAUGGAAUGACAUUUACAUAUAUUCAAGUCAAUCACAAGAGUCAUCCCACUCGAAGACUUCAGGAUAGGGCCAUUAAGGAUUAUGAUUUUAUUUAUUAUUAUUUACAUAUAUUCAAGUCAAUCACAAGUGUGUUAUGCUUUUAUUUGUUCUGACUAAUAACAAAUAUAGUUAUUUUUCAUUUAAGGAUUUAUUUAUUUUAUUUAUUAUUAUUAGGCUUUUCUCGUUUUCAUGUCUCAAAAAAAAAAAAAAAAGUUUCUUCUCAUGAGAUGGUCAAAAAGAAGCUUUACUUGUUUUCAAUUAAGUUCCCUGACAAUGAUCUUCCCUGCAUACAUUUAUACAUGGGAGCCACAAGGCGGAAACAUCAAAGGAUUCAGCUAUCUUUAGACUUAAUGGUCACUUCAGUUGACUCGUUGACUCAAUAAUAGAGUUUUUAUUAGAUGAGUUGGUUUUGAUUAGUUUGGAUUAUGUUUAAAUUCAAUUAGGUGAUAUAAUUCGGUGUUAUAUUUAAUUCUUGUAUUAAAAUAAUCAAAUUAUAUUAUGAAAUUAUGAAAUUAAUUAAUUUAAGUGUUUAAAUUUUGAUUUUUUUUAUUGAGGAUUGAGAUUGAAAAAUAUUCAAGUGAUCAAGAUGCAUUGACAUGUGGAAAAAAUAAAUCCCAUAAAUAAAUUUAAAAACAAAUCAAUUUUUUUUAUAAAAAAUAGCUACCAAGAAUAAUAAUAAAAUAAAAUACAAAGUAAACUAAUCACACCAAAGUCUAAAAACUUUGAUUUUUUUCAUAUUGAUUCCUCUAUUGUUUAGACAAAUUAACUCACUUGUUUCAUCAUUUACAAAAAACAAGUCAUUUCAAAUUUUGAUACGUCAUUUAACAUUAAUUAUUCUAAGAGUCAAGCAUGUCAAUUUAUAAUUUUUAUUAUAUAUAUAUAUAUAGCAACUCAAACAAACGAAUUUGUCUAUUAAUAUGUUAACAGUUUACAUAAGAAACUGUUAAGAAUGAAUAUGUAUUUUUAUUUUAUGAAAAUAAAAUCCAUAGAUAAUUUGUAUUAUUGAAAAAAUUAUAAUAAUUAUAGUCAAAAUCAAACCCUUGAUUAUCAUAUUGUAUAAGUUUUGCAAGAUAUAAAUUUGGAACAAUGAAAAUACUAAGAUACAAAUUACUAAAUUGCAUAAUUUUAUAUAUUUUUUAAAAUUCAUAAAAUUGAUUUAAGUUUACUAAUUUUAUUGAGUUUAAAUGAAUUUGAUGGAUUUUAUUAGUUUUAAAAUUUUAAUUUAAUUUUACAUAUUAAAUAUAUAUUAAUUAUAUAAUUUUACAAGUCACACCAUAAUUUUUUAACCACCAUUAAUUAUGUUGGCGAAAGAAAAGGCAAAGAAACAGCUCUUAAAGAAAAAAGGAAAUCAAGUACGUCAUAAAUGAUACUAGGCAGAUGAAGUCAAGAUAAGGUUCUGUUGGCAAAAGAAAAAGGCAAAGCAAAGCAAAGCAGAACAAUCCAUCAAACUUACAGCUCAGAGAGUGAAUUGUGACUAUUAGUCUGGCUGCUAUUCUACAGUCAUGGGUGAAACAAUCAGGCAGAAAAUAGACUGCUCUGGCGACCUUUUCUUCUUCUUUUUAUUUUAUUAUUAUUUCUUUCUUAUGAGGUGACUGUCAUAUUUCUUUCUUAGUUAGGAACCUAACCCCACAAAUUGAGGUGUCUGUCAAAUAACAUUCAUAUGCUCAAAAUAAAUAAAUAAAUAAAAGAAAUAUGAGAGAUGUCAAUGUAUUGGCCAAUGACGUGCUGCUGAACAUCAUAUGAUAAUUAUUCUGCAAAAUUAAUAAGUUUCAUAUUCAGCUUUGCAUAAGGAUCAGUGAGUAAAGAUGCAAUACUUUUCAUCGAUUUUCCUUUGGGUGUAUAUUCAUUUCCAUCUUGUAUAGGAGAUCUGUAACUGAUAAAUUGGUGUGGAGGUAUUUUCAAUACUCAACUUGUCAAGUGACUAGUUGAAGAUUUUACUUGAGGUUUUUCUGUUAGUAUAUCUGCUAUAUAACUCACAUCUUUCAAUUCUGCCAUGGAAAAUGGCUUUGACAAUGGAAGCCAUUGAAUUAUGAAGCCAUUAUGUUAAAUAUUAUUCGUCACCAAUAUAUCUUAAUAGAUUUACUUGACAUCUACCUCCAGAGUCGUGUCACAAGAAGUGAUGAAGAUAAAUUCAACAUAGCUAAAAAAAGCUGUACUUUUUAGAAAUAAAAUUCUAUCUGCAUGUGUAUCAUAAAUGGCACAAGUCGAGGAGUGCUGAUUCUACAGGCUGAGCAACCAAAUUCACAACAUCUUGCUCUCGCAAAGGGCAUUAAUUUAUAUGAUUAGGUGCAGCGCGACGAGGAACAUAAGAACAAAGAAUUAUGACAUUUACAGGGUGCAAAACUUGUCUGAUUGACGAGGAGCUGAUAAUUUAUCAACACUCCUGACCCUGCCAUUUUCACCGUUUUCUACUUAUACAUUAAAGGCCCGGAUCUUGAGACUGCAAACCGUGGUAGUGGGCUACGACCUGUGCUCCCAGAAGCUGAGCCUUCGACAAGUUUAACUUUUCUGCUUGAACUAUAAUCCAAAGGCCCAGAGCGGCGAACAUUUCGAUGUUUAUUAUCCGUGCUGCGAAGGCUUCCUCUAUCCAUAUCGUACAAAUGGUUCUGGCUAUGGGAUGAUGACCCCUUCAAAUAACCUGAAUCAUUAACACCAUGCUGUGGUGUUGAGUCUCCACGAGGCUGCUUCACUGCAGGAGAUGUGUGAGAUAGUGAUACAGCAGGUGAAUGGCGGGAUGAGACACUUCGUAGUGCCAGAGGCAUGGAUGGAGAAUUUGAGUAGUACUGGCUAUAAAUUGAACGCAGAAUUGCGUAAGGAACAUAGGCUUCGAGGGAGUUUCUUGGAAGAUACGGUGAGAUCUCACAAAGUUGGUCCAAGAAAAUCAGCUUUGCUACAAGAUUAGAUCUGCCCAGAAAGGGGAGAUGAGAUUGAGAUGCAUGAAAUGAUGAGAAAGGAAACAAAGGUCAUAAAGAUAUUCAAAUAGACUAUUCAGAUCAACAUUCCUUUCUCAGUAUUUGAGCUGAAAGAAUUAUUGAUGGAGCCACCCUAGAGAUUUAACUCGAGUUUUUAAGGAAUGAUGCUUGUGGUUUAAAAUAAUUACCAUGAGAUUUUAUGCAAGCAAAAAUCGAUGAAAAUAUGGAACUUGUGUGCAUGCCUGUGUAUUUAUGUGAGGGGCAUGACAGGCAUUGCAUGUUUACCUAUUGGCUUCACUCCAAGAAUCUAGCACAAUACCAGUUGCAAAUUUGACAAAAAGCUGCAUUGCAGACUUUAUACUUGCUUCAGCAGACAAACGGCUAUGUAUUUCAGGAUCCAAAGCCUCAUCAAGAUGGCCAUUAGAGGGAGACUGUUGUCUCUGCUGAUGUUCGCGUUCCAAUCUCACUAACUCACUACCAGCAAUCACAGCACUCAUGCACCUGCAAAGAAUAUUCAAUUGUAAGGAAAAAAUUAAUAUUAAUAAUGGAUAAUAGAAACCAUUUCAUUUACUAGUAGUGCAAAAAUGGCAAAUGCAUGACCCUAACUGUGAAUAAAGUUGCCCGGCGGGUGAGACAGAGAAGGCAAGAAGAGUUAAAUACUUCCUCGUAAGACCUCAUAACAGAAUAUACCAUGAUUAGUAGCAAAUGCAGUAGACCUUGGUUCAGUUCAGAAUUUAAAUAUGAUAGUUAAAUGGGAGAUGGCCAGUCACCCAAUCAAAAAUAAUUUGGAUAGAAAUGCCAGGUAUGGGCCACUGACUUCAGAUCACUAGCUCGUAUGCAAUACAUGUUCGAAGAAGCAUUUAACUUCUUGUGUUCAGGAGUAUAUCCAUACCCGUCAAUUCAACAAUAUGGCGGGACAAGAAAAACCAACCUUGCCAGACAGUGGAUAUUGUUGUUGAAGCCCCCUGUAUCAACAUUGAAGCCAGUAGUAUUCCAUAUAUUUGAUGUCAUGAAGGUGGCGAAUAAAUAAGGCAACAAUGUCCAAGAACCAUCAUUUUCACCCCCAACAUCCUCUAGAAUUGAUCUGAUCCAUUCUGAAUCAUGAUCUCCAACUAUAUUAAGACUGUUUGCCACCCCUCUUAUUCUUCUGAUUUCCUUCUUUUCAGAUAUUUCUUCAGGUAUAUGCUUAACCACCCCAGAAAGUAGUGAAUAUAUCAAGGGUGCACCCUCAUCAAGCACGACCCCAGCUGCCUCAGCAAGAAGCUGAUCAAAAGCAAGUGCAUGUCCUCCAUCAAUGCAAAAUCCAAUUACUGUGUCCAAGUCCACAAUCUGCCUGGAACAUGCCUCUCUUUCUAUUCUGUCACCAGAAUGCAUGCUGCUAGCAACUGCCUCUAACACUUCAUGGUUUGACCGUAAUGAUGUGUCAAUGCAAUUCAAGAGUGCUGCUGUGUGCUCUUUCAUCAUUCUGUCUAGCCUGUCAACGCGAUAGCCACCAAAUACACGAACAAAGGCCUGCAAUUCUCUGAGAUCAGUGACCGACUCUGCAAAACACAUCCACCAACAGGCCUCGUGCUUUUAAAGCAUUUGUGGAUUGGUGUAAAAAGGACUCCAGCACCUGAUACAUCCUUGAUAAUGUUUUCUAUGUACCAGUUGCAGACAACUUCAGUGGCCGACCCAGUAAGCUGCUCUGCUGGUUUUUCAAACAAGUGAAGAGAAGACACAGGUCCUGAGAAGGCCUCAAUUAGUAGAACUUCUUGAAUACCAUGAGUAAGGUCCAUGCUGAUAUGUUGCUCUGCUAGAAAAACAAUUUUCAAAUGCCUGUGAAUCAAGGACUCCAGGACAGAAGGCCGUUGAAGAUCAUUGUCAGCUUUUAAUACUGCAAGCAAUCUCCUCCUGAAGUUGCCAAGUAUGCCCUCUCUCAUGUACUGCAAAGAAGACUACAAUGUCAUACCAGAACCCCAACAUUUUGAUAUUGUUUGAGUUGACACACUGACCAUGCUAUUGCACAGCAUAUGGAUUAAAAAGAAGUAAAUCACACCCCUUCUUGUUCAGCGAAAAAAGCACUACAUUUCUUGAUAGUUUUAUAUGGCUUGAUGCAUCCCAUCCUAAUUAAGUAAGAUUUUUUGACACAUAAUAAUUAAAUAAAAAUGAAAAAAAUAACAAAAUAAUUAAAAUUAACUAAAAUUACUGAAAAUAUAUAUUUUUAGGAUUUACAAAUUUUGAAACAUGUAUAAAAAUGGGGCUAAGAAAUUGAGUUACAACAAGAUCAUUAUUAUUUAUCAGAUUUAUCUAUAUCCAUUAAGGAUAUCUUAUUAGACUUUGGAUUUUUUUAUAGUAUAAAUACUCUUUUGUAUAAACUUUUUGAGGUUAGACUAUUUUAAUAAAAAAAUCGGUGUUCUUGCUAUCUUUAAGAAGAGAUUAUAGGGGGUGUUUAAAAGUGUGGUAACGGUUACUUUUCAAAGUAUUUUUUACUUGGAAAUACAUUAAAAUAACAUUUAAAAAAAAAUUAUUUUUUAUAUCAAUAUAUCAAAAAAAUCAAAAAACAUAAAAAAUAAAUAAAUUUUAAGCAAAAAUAAAUUUCAGAUUUUGUCCAACCUCCAUUUGGAACGCAAUACCAAACAGGGCUACAAGGAGUUAAGAAGACAAAUAGCAAACUCAUAGUACUUCAGUCAACUACAAGACACCUAUAUCAUAGUCUGAUAUCAUAUACCCAACCAAAGAAGUUAAACACAAACUCAGCAUGCCUCACCUCCCUUAGAACAAAGACAUGGUUUAGAACACAUAUAGGCUCCAUAUCAUUCAGAACUGAAAACAAGUUGGUCAACCUUUGCAUCGCAGCUUCCAACCUGCCAUCAACACAAACUCAAGAAUCAAGACAUGUUGUAUCAUUGCAGAUUAUCAUGAAAAGCAGCACAAGUUAAAUUCCAUACAUUUUUAUAGCACUAUUAUUUUCAGGGUAGCUCUCGUGGCCAGGCAAAGGAAAGCCAACUGAUCCCCCUCCCUUGGUAGAUUUUGAUGUAGGAAUUGAAACUCUGGAUGUGUCAUUCAAAUAAAAAGCAGCCUGCUCUGGAAGAAGCUGAAAUUUCCUAAACAUUAGCUUUCUAAUAUAGCUACUCAAACAUUUCCUUAUCUGCUACAGUAUAUCACAGUUCAAAGUAAAAACCUGAGCCUCUAAGGCACCAAAUCCUCCUUAAGAAUCAAGAAUAUUGAUUAAUCCCUCCAAUCCUCCAAUGAUAGAUUCAAUAAGAGACUCAACAUAUAGGACUGCAUCUCGCCCAAUUUUCGUUACCUAUUUACAGAAAAGUACAAAGUAAAUUUCAUGACGUUUCCAUUACAUGAUAUGCAAGAUGGAAAGCACAGUUGGGGUGGGGGGUUAAGCAGUUGUUGGAGUUAUCCUCUUUGCAAACUGUUCAACCAUGCCCUUAACGAGUAUGGAUCAACGCAAUGUGCAGCAGAUUAAAUUAAAUAAAAUCCAAGUCUUCCCAUUUCAAUUUCUCUUAGCAAAAAAUCAUCAAUUAUAGCCCCUCUCCCCAACUGAAAUAGCUAGUCGAUGGAUCACCUCUUCUGGAACAAUUGGAGAAGCACACUCUGGAAAGCUACUAGCAACACCAAGCCAUGCACAGCAAUGGUGAGGACGUCCUUCUGGUCCAAACAUGGUGUUCCGAAAGACCUACCAUGGAAAAAGAUGCAUGGUUAGUUAUAACAAGGAGCCCGUGAGGAAAAGAGUAACCCCAAGCAAAAUAAUUGUGGAAACGAAAAGCAACAGAGCAUGCUGCCUAGAAAGUCCAACAAUACCCAAUUGAGUAUUUUGAGGAGCCCAGCCUUCAUGACUUGAAAUUAUAAACUAAAUAAGCCAGGAACUCACUACAGUAAGGUGCUGAUGGUAGAAAUACAGCUUUUUUAGAGUUCCAUGCUUUGAUAAUUGCGACUCUAAUUCAUCAACGCAUCUGCAAUUGAAAGAGAUUCCUGUAUGAUGUUCUGUAGAUUUCAACAGCAUUCAAUUUGAAUUUGGAUUUUCCAUGUGAACAAGGUAACCUCCAGAAUACAGUACAGCAGAUACUGAAAUUGAGAUGCUGUAUGGAGAAAAGAGGGAACCUAUGCCCAUAGGCUUCAUAAGAACCUCAGAAUCAUGAUUGUCCAUACUAUUUUCCCAUUGUUUCCUGAGAAAAGAGGGAACCUAUGCCCAUAGGCUUCAUUUUGUACUCAGAUCUUGAAACAGUCAUCUAACAGUAACUAUUGGUCUAGCAAAUGGUUCAAAGUCUCAAAGGAAAACCAGACAACAUGAAGUGGUAUAAUGUGCCUAACUCCCAUACAUUAAGUGGUAGAGCAUUUGCCAUUUAGCUCAAAGUUUAAGCUACUCGGUACAAGGCCACUUCAUAAAGCCACACCAAACACAAACACAAACACAAACACAAACAAAGUGGACUUUCUAUGCUACCACAGCAAACUUCACUCUCGCAAACUGGUGCCUCUGUGAGUCAUGGAAACAUACUUAAAAGCCAAGCAUAAAUGCAAGAGUAAUUAAUGAUUUGUAAAAUGAAUAUGUAACGAAUAGAAACAUAAAAUAAACAACCAUAAAGUUUACUAAAUUACCACUACUGCCAUUGUGUCAUUCUUUAUAAAUUAAUUUGUUAAAAGUUUUUCCUUAAACAUAGCAUUACUCUGAAUGCAAUACCGCUGACUUCACAUGGUUUCUUUCAAGUCAGAGCUAAGAGGACCAACAGAGAUUAUCAUUCUGUUGGUUUCCUUCAAACAAUACCCCCGGAUUACGUUUUGCGCGGACGAAGACCAGUUCAACAGAGAAAUCCAGCAAAUCACGGCCACGAUACCCACGAUGCCACCCACAAUCACUCUCCUCCACGAUAUUCGCCAUGGCUGGAGGCAGGGACACAGGACCUUCUCUGGCUUUAUAAAAGCUAGAGAAAAAGAGGAAAAGAGAAGAGCCAAAAAGAAAACAGAGAAGGGGUCAGCAACAGGGGAAUUCUAGGGACAAAAAAAGGGAGCAUAAAUCCAUAGCAAAAACAGAGACAAACGCCAUCAAAAAAAAAAAACAGAGGACCAACCGUUAACAUCACCAUCUUCUCGAACGCAGGGGACAUAGAGAAGAACGAAAACACAGGGGAAGGGGAAACAGAGGAAAAAAUAGAGAGGCACACAGAAAUACAUAAAGAAAUAACACGCAGAGCAGGGGAGAAAAAGGGCAGCACACACACAGACAAGGAUUGAUUAUCCCUGCCAUCGUUUUAUCCCUGCAAAGAAUGCUACAUUUGCUGCCAUGAAUGAAGGGAUAGUACCUGGUGGGGGUGCAACAUAUGUACAUAUCUCGGAGCAGAUCUCCUCAAUAAAAAAUUCCAUGAAAGAUGAAAAUGAGAAGAUUGGUGCUGAUAUUGUUGCAAAGGUCUGUUCUCAGUUCCUUUCUUUUUUCAAAAGUUAUUUUCUUCACACUUUCGCCUCACUAGGAUUGGAUCUAAGGUGAUUUUCCUUUCUUUCGUGAGAUGUACCUUUUAUGCUCAUUUCUUUAUUUGGAUUGAUGAAUUUUGCGUCUCAAAUAGAAAUAAGCAGCGUUGGCGAAUGAGUUACCAUGCACAAGUGCAAUAGGGGCUGGUGCUAAAGCAGAUUAUUGCACAAGACUUGUAAAACGGACCAAGGUUCCUUUCAUAAUUAGUGAUAAAGUUGGACAUCCUUGUGAAAUGGUUAUAAAUGCAGGGCGUAGCAUGGAGAAACCCUACAAGUAGUGGUUUCUAAAUGAUAUAAAGGGAAAUUUCUUCUCCCAUGUAGUAACACAUACCAAUGAUGCAUUACAGGCACUUCUUGCACCUGCAAAAACAAUUGCAACUAAUGCAGGGGUUGAUGGAGCAGUUGUGGUGGAGAACUGGUUACAAUGCAAUGACUGGUAGAUAUGAAGAUCUUCUCAAUGCAGGAGUGGUAGGUCCUUGUAGAGUUUCUAGGUGUGCACUUCAAAGUGCUGUCUCAAUUGCUGGGAUAGUUCUAACAACUCAAGCUGUGCUGGUUGAAAAAAUAAAAAAGCCCAAGCCCGCUGUCUCUUAUGUUCCUGGAAUUACACCUUGAGAAAAAUGGAAAAGAGCUGUUAAAAUUGUAGAAAGAAGCUGAAGAAAUUUUAUUGCUCUGAUGGCUCUCAUCAACAGUUUUGAGUUGGCUGGUCAGAAUGAAACUUGAAGGUGAAGCAAGUCUCUUCAACAAGCCUUUACAACUUCUGGGAUCACCAGGUGGAUCAUGCUUAAGACCACAAAAGCAUCAAAUGCCAUAAUGAAAGACUUUGCAUUUGUCUGGAAAUGCUUGGUUCUCCCUGCUGAUACAUCGACGACUACUCCCCUAAAUUUUGUGUUUGGUCUCUGUUAUAUUUGAUUUUCUGGCUGGUUUCCUGUCAAGAAACUCACUACUAUUCCAGUAACUCAGCAAGUAGGCAUAUAGGAAGAGUGAUCCAAUAUCCAGAUGCCCUCUUUAAAAUCUUCAACUGAAGUUAGUCACUGACACAAUUGAAGCAGAAAAUCACCUUUAUUUUAUCAAUUAUAUUUUCCCUUGACUGCUAUAUGAUUCAUCUGUCAAUUUUAUUUGAACGAGGUUUUGGUCUAUUGCCAUCAAAUUUAAUUGAUUUUUGUUUGCUAUUGGAUGAUUGCCUUGUAGUGUUAUAAAACAUGUUCUGCUGUUUGAGAAGCAGCCUUCUCCAUCUUUUGUGAGUUUUCAAAUGUUUGAUUUUUCAACAUAUUUUCUUUUUGUUUUGAAUUAGAAGCGCACACGUACAUCCUCUAUCAUUUAUAUGGAAAUGGACUUAGCCCCGGUGCUCGAAAACUAAAUGAAAUAUUUCAGUUUGGGCAUGUGCUUAUGUGGCUGCGUUGAAGUGCAGGAGUAAAUCUCAUGUAGAUUAUUAUCAAUGAUGUCAAGAGUGUAUAGAGAACAGAUUUCCCUUCUCAAUCCCUACUCUAAAUAUGAAUAUCAUUUUCUUCUUCUUGCUUACUUUCUCUCCUUUCUCGACAUCCAUGUCAUUACCAUCCCCCUUUCUCCUCAGUCGUACCCAAUGCACCUUCUAAUAUAAGCUCAUGAAUAUUACUAGUACUCAUGAACACUCUUCCUUUUGACACACUACCCAUCUUUCUUACUUUCAUCUCUUUUCUCAUCUUCCUCUUCCUCUUCCCUUAGACACACUUCCCAUCUUUCUUACUUUCAUUUCUUUUCUCAUCUUCCUCUGCCUCCUUUUCCUCAUUCCGUUUAACUAUUUCAAAGUUCCCCUCCCAAUCAGUCUUUGCUUGAAAAAUCAGCAACGCAUUGAAUGCUUUCUACGGAAACAACACCACCAUUUAGUGGAAAUUAGAGGCUGCAACCCUGUCCACUUCCUGGGAAUCUCCACAACACCAUUUAGUGCUCCCAUCACAUUCUCCAAUAUCAAGUAUCAUUGCUUUUCAGACAUUCUGAAUUUUGAUCCUUCCAAUUCCUAUGUUUCAAAUCAACUGCCACAACGUUCCUAUUCGUCUUGAAAAAUGCUUUCUACGGAAACAACCUUUUUAUCCACAACAGACGCAUCAUAAGUGUCUCAUAACUUCUGCUUUGCUAAGUAGUCAAUUAUUAGACUUCAUUUUUUUGAAUCGCAAGCACUUCACUGGGAUGUUUUCAGCUGUUAUAUUCAAUUAGGGUUCUGUUGGAGUUUGCAAAGGGUUUUGGAUGUUCUUUGUUUUGGAGUUUCGUGAUCUUGGAAAGAUACUAAUGGAUUUUUGCAGAGAAGCACGGAUCGUCAACGAGGAUGUUCUAGUGUUGUUGUAGAUUUUUAUUCAAGACUUGUAUCAUUUGAUGAUGUCAUGUGAAUUGCUAGAAAUAUAUAAAAGUUUCGUAAGGAAACUGAAGCAGCCUACCAUAAGACAAGAUCUAUUAGAUUUUUUGAAGCCCAGAGGAAAGAUACAGAGACGCUCUGUUUUUGUUUGGUAAAUAAAGACUUUUUCUGGCUGUAGGUUUGGUCUUGUCUCAAUUCAGGAAAUCCCACUUAUAAUUCAGCAUAAUUGCGUAAACCCUUGAAAACUGUUGAAAAUUACAAAAUGUUUUGAUGCCAAGGCCCGUUGGCCUUCCAGGUACAAAAUUAACCUGAACCUUGAGAGAAAAUUAUGCCUACAAUUCUACAACAGAGUUUUUGAACAGAAGCAGCAUUCCUUAUCACAGGGCUAAAUGACGUUAUUUGAUCUUUAUUUACCUAGAGGAAUAAAUAUUGAAUUUCAACGUGACAAAUGACGUUAUUUGAUCUUUCAGGACGAGUUUGGUUUGAUUGUGGAAAUUUUGUUCAUCAUUAUUGUACGGUCUUUGUGUUGGAUUUUGGAUUGUUUAUCACUCUCCAAAAAAAAAAAUGUAGUAGGAAGGCAAUUGAUACAAAUGAAGGCAAUAAAUUACAUGAUUCAUGAUAUUCACCAAGUUCAUCUAAAAUGACUUGAUUAUUGAAUAUUACAUUUUACCAAACAAGUUGCUUUUCACAAACGCCCAAGUAUACUGUAAAAAUUCAGCCAAUAACAUUUCUGGGAACCAUUAUAUCUUCCAAUUCCAUCGUUAGCUUUGGCAAUGGAGGCCAUCGAGUUGUAAGCUCUGUAGAAACCUGUCGCAUUGUUGGCCGAUAGUGAGGAUCAGUCUGCAAGCAAGCAAACGCCAGUUUUGCAACAUGUGCCACACCGUCCGCAAGCUCGUUUUCAGGAGGUGGGAGGCGCUGGUCUAAGACAUCCUUCAAGACUGUAUUGUGACCAAUUGGUGAUGAUGAGGAGGUGGAGGCAGAUAACAUCAGAGAUGAUAUGAAAUCGCCAGGAUGCUUUCCCAUCAUUACUUCCAAUGUUAAUACUCCAAAGCUAUACACAUCACAAUUUUCAUCCACUUUCAUUGUGUAUGCCAACUCUGCAAAAGAGGCUGGUCAUGCUAUAUGUUGCUAAAAUAAUUAACUGCACCUAUUUUGUUUUCAAGUGAUUCUGUAAACUAACCUAUUGUAGAAGGUGAUAUUGAAACUUAACUACAUACCUGGAGCUGUGUACCCAAAGGUGCCAGCAAAUGAUGUCCAAUUGGACGAGUCAGGCAUUAGGAGCCUGGCUGUGCCGAAGUCAGAGACAUGAGCCUCGUAUUCUGAAUCCAAAAGAACAUUAUUGCUGGAAAUGUCUCUAUGAAUAAUCGGAGCACAGAGCAGUCAUGGUGCAUGUAGGAUAAAGCAUUGGCUACGCCUUUGAUAAGAUUCAUCCUUUUAUCCCAAUCCAUCUUUCCUGCUUGUUCCUCGUCGUUCAGUACCUUUCUUAAACUUCCCCUUUCCACAAAUUCAUAUACCAAAAAUGAGUGUUUGGCAUGCGAGCAGAAACCAUACAGCUUCACAAUGUUUCGAUGCCGUAUACCCAUGAAGACAUCAAUCUCGCUUCUAAAAGCUUUCAAGCUGCUCAUCUCAACUUCUGGUGUUUGGUGGAAUUUCUUCACGGCGAGGACUUGUUCUGAUGGAAGUACAGCUUUGUAUACAACUCCAUAGCCUCCGGUACCAAUGCAAUAUUUGGAGUCGAAUUCCUCAGUAGCCUCUACGAUGUCCUCGUAGCGCAAAUCCCCACCAGGGCACCAUCUCGCGGUAACAUCUCUUUGUGGUGUUUCCACUAACCUUUUCUUUCUUCUGCUUUGGAAAAAGAUAAGAAAACCUACAAUGAGGCCCAACAAACUACCCAGCAGAGAAAAUACCGUCAAAAAGACAACUUUGGGGCCCACAGUUUUGUUUUUUAUAAGAGCAGAACAAGCCUCCAAACCAGUUGCAUUGCCACACAGGUUGGUGUUGUUGCGAAUUGCUUCAAAUGGUGCCUCGCGAAAGGCUUUGAUGUCAGGAAUGGGGCCCUCUAACUUGUUAUAGGAUACAUCCACUUUAGUGAGGCCUUGCAGUCUACUAAAACUAGUUGGAAUUCGACCAGACAGCAUAUUAUGGGAGAGGUUUAAAACCUCUAGCCGCUGCAGCUGUCCAAGCUCUGGCGCUAUAUCUCCCAUCAGGGAAUUCCAACUGAGAUCAAGACUUUGAAGAGACUGUAAAGACCCCAUCUCGGCAGGAAUACUCCCUGUGAAUCUAUUCUUGCUGAUAUUCAAGAAUAUCAGUUUUGAGCACUCGCCAAGCUGUUUAAGAAUUGUUGCACUAAAAUUGUUCGCGGCCAGGCCAAGCUUUUCGAGAUUAGAUAACGAUGCGACAUCGAAAGGAAUAUCACCUGAAAGGCUGUUAUCGUUGAGUGCAAGUUCAAUCAACUUCAAAUUUCUGAAUUCUUUGGGAAUUCUACCAACUAGUUGAUUUGACGAGAGGUGAAGAACUUGUAGAUGAGUUGCCUUUCCAAGAGCUGCUGGUAUCUCUCCAGAAAUCUUGUUACCAGAAAUCUUGAAGGCCGUUAGAUUGUUAAACUGCUCCCAUUUCAAUGAAAGUUCACCUUGCAAUUCAUUAUCACUCAAAUCCAUGUAGUUCAAAUAAGGAUGUGUGCCAAAAGCUUCAGAUAUGUUUCCACUAAGUUGGUUUCUCUCAAGUCUGAGUCUCAACAAGCUGCUGCAGUUUCUCAAGCUUUUCGGGAUAGGUCCCGUGAAAUAAUUUUGAUCUGCAGCAAAAAAUCUAAGCAAUCCACCAAGGCACACAUCUCGUGGUAGAUUUCCAUAAAAUCUAUUAGAAUAUAUUUGUAAAAAAGACAAAUGUGUAAGGUUGUUCAUUUCUGGAGGAAUGGGACCAAAAAGAUUGUUAUCGGCAAGGUCAAGUGCAGAUAAGUUUCUUAAAUUAUUUAAAGAUAUCGGUAUUGUACCAGUUAGUUUAUUAAAUGACAAAUUUAAAAUGGUGAGAGAUCUCGUCAGGUUUCCAAUAAAAGUAAUGGGACCAGAAAAAUUGUUAUUCCGAAGGUCAAGUUUAGAUAAGCUUCUUAAAUUUUCUAAAGAUGCUGGUAUUGUACCUGUUAGUUUAUUAGAUGACAAAGCUAAAAUAGUGAGAGAUCUCGACAGGUUUCCAAUAAAAGUAAUGGGACCAGAAAGAUUGUUGUUUGCAAGGUCAAGUUUAGAUAAGCUUCUUAAAUUUCCUAAAGAUGUCGGUAUUGUAUCGGUUAGUUUAUUAGAUGACAAACCUAAACCAGUGAGAGUUCUCGUCAAGUUUUCAAUAAAAGUAAUGGGACCAGAAAAACUGUUAUCCCAAAGUAUAAGUUCGGAUAAACUUCUUAAAUUUCCUAAAGAUUUUGGUAUUGUACCGGUUAAUUUAUUAGAUGACAAAUCUAAAAUAAUGAGAGAUCUCGACAGGUUUCCAAUAAAAGUAAUGGGACCAAAAAGAUUGUUGUCUGCAAGGUAAAGUUUAGAUAAGCUUCUUAAAUUUCCUAAAGAUGUCGGUAUUGUACCGGUUAAUUUAUUAAAUGACAAAGCUAAACCAGUGAGAGUUCUCGUCAAGUUUCCAAUAAAAGUAAUUGGACCAGAAAGACUGUUAUUCCAAAGCAAAAGUUCAGAUAAGCUUUUUAAAUUUUCUAAUGUCGGUAUUGUUCCGGUUAGUUUAUUACAUGACAAAGCUAAAGUAGUGAGAGAUACUAAAUUUCCAAUUUCUGGUGGAAUGUUGCCAGAAAUGCUAUUGUAAGACAAGUCAAGGAUGGAGAGGUUAGAAAGGUUACCUAUAUGUGAAGGAAUGGACCCAUAGAGCGAGUUGUUGUCAAGGGUAAGCUCAAUCAAGUUAUGAAAGGAAGAGAAUCUGAAACGAUUAAGCGUACCUCUCAAACUAGAAUCGGACAGACUUAUGUUGCUGACACUACCAGACUUGUCGCAGCUGAUUCCGAACCAGCUGCAAGGACUGUCUCCAGCCCAAGAAGACAGGAGAGACUGGCUUUGGUUGUCAAGAGUGACUUUCCAUUCUAGAAGAACUUCCGCUUCCUUCCUUCCAUUUGCUACUUCAGCAAAAGAAGCGAAGAAGGAAGCAUAAGCAAGUAAGGAAAAAACCAAAAAAGGUGUGGAAAAGAGAAAGAUGUGGGAAGCCAUGGCCUUGGUGGUUUACUUUCUUAAAAAGGAUGUAUAAAAUGAUUUGCCCCGCAUACGUAUAUAUAUGGGAAAGAAAUGAUAGAUUUUCGAGUAAGAUUCGGUGGAGAUGGAUUUUGAUUUUGAAAAAUUUGAAGGUAUUAAUUUUGAAUAUUUUUUUUAUCAAGUCUUAAUUUGUUUUUAAUUUUAUCUUUGGAUCCUAAUCUUGAUUUUUUAUUUUUUUUUCAAAUUUGAUACUCAAUCUCUUGAUUUUUUUUUGUUUUGGAUUCUUUUAUUAAUUUGAUUUUUAUUUUUAAUUUUACCUCUUAAUUAAAAAUUUUAGGCUGUCAUCUUUCUUUUUUUUUCAAAUUAGGUUCUUAUUUUUUUAAUUAUUAUUUUUUUAUCCUUUUAUAUAAUUAAAUUUUUUAUUUAUUUCACUAGUCAACAUUUUAUUUAUUAAUUAGGGAGGUGGUCUUAAUAAUGUUUCUCAAAGCUUUUAGACUUGGCUCGGGAGUCGAUUCGAGGCAAGUACCGAGUCACAAGUCAGGUGGGUUAACUUUAGUUUACCCAAGUCAAUCAAAUCUUUUUAUUUUAUAAAAAAAGUUAAAAUGCAAUCAUUUUAAAAAAAUAAAAAAAAUAAGAAAAUAGUUAAUGAAUUAACCAAAUCAACCAAUUUUUUUAUUUUCUUUUUAUGAUGUUAAGUCAUGAAUUUUCUUUAUUAAAAAUAUAUUGACAUUGUUUUAACAUCAUUUUUUUUAUGUUACAAAAAAGUCAGUUCACUAUAAAAAGAAACUCGUGCCACCUUUCGAGGAAGACAGAUCAAUGAAAGGUGGAGGGCUGGAGGCAGAGGAAGCCACCCAGCCAGUCAGCAUCUUCGUUAGGAGGAGCAUGUGUAGACUAAUUUAAAUUGUUAUUCCAACAUUUAUGUUGAUGGAAUAUUUAAUUGCGUGAUAGCAGGAGCAUGUGUACUAGGCUAGAAGGUAAAUGAAGUAUUUGUUACGAUUAUUAGAAUAUUUAUGUUGGAAUUAGAAUAUAUGUUCACUUUAUCUCUAAGGUGAGUAAAUCAUAUAUAUAUAUAUUGUUUCUAGAAAACGGUUACAGAAGAAGAGGAAAUCAGCUGUGAACAGAUUCUAGAGCUAGGCAGUUAUAAUAAAUCACGUAACAGACCUUCUAGCCUUGGUUCAUCAGGGUUUUAGCUAUGGAUCCAUUCUCGGAUGAUUUUUUUAUGAAAUAUAAGAGAAGUAUUAUUUUGCUGCUUAAUAAGAUUAUUAUAUUCUAUGAUUAAAAAAAAAAACGAAAUCUGAAUAUUAUUAAGAGAUGAAGACUAUUGUAUACUCCCAUUCCUUGACUUGAUCAUUAAUCAAGAUGGAAUAUUCAAUUGCGUUUUAGAAGGAGUAUGUAUAAAGUUAUAAACUAAUAUAAAUUGUCAUUCUAGAAGAGAAAUGAAGUAUUUGUCACAAUUAUUUGAAUACGGACUCAUUCUGACAACUUUUUUUUAAUGAAGUACAGAGAUAUAUUAUUUUGCACCAUUAUGUGGUUCAAAAAAUUAUUAUAUUCCAUGAUUAAAAAAAAUAUAUGAGCCUCUGCACUGGGUGAUCAUCCUUCAAUGCAAUUUUAUAUUAUUUUCUUGCUAAUUAUUUUAUAUUAUUUUCCUACAAAUUUUACAUAAUAUUAUUGCACUUGUUCUAGAACCAGCUAACAUGAACUGUAAGGCCACUACGGCACAAGCAAAAUCUGAAGAAGAAUGAACACCAAAGAUAGCAAUCCACUGUCCCCCAUAUUCUAUAGAGUUAACUUUGAAGUUGUUAUCAUUCCAUAAGACUAAAACACCACCGGAUUUCCCAACAGCAUCUAUAGAAGCCCAUCUAAUAUCCUGUUAUUUCUAAAGAAAGUUGACAAAUUUUUCAAUGCCCGCCUAGUAUUCUCCCAUCCCGAUAUCACAAUAAUCUUUAAAAAUUCAAAUUUUAAAAAGAAUAGAUUUUUAACAUUUUAUUUUUUGAUAAAAAAAUAUCUUGUUUAAGAAGUCGUCAUCUAAUAUUAUAAUCACUAAAAACCCUAACUGGUCAAUAAAGAUUUUAUAAUACGAAACUGGUUAAGCAAAAAAGAAGAUAUUAUCAUUCUUUAAACAUUCUACUUAAGGUAGGUUGUAUUACUUGUUUUGUCUUGAAUUGCUAAAAGAUUUUAUAAUACGAAACUGGUUAAGCAAAAAAAAAGAUUUUGUUUCAUUAUAAAUGCACGCGUAAGACUGUCCCCCAUAUUCUUUGGAGUCAACUUUGAAGUUGUUAUCAUUCCAUAAGACUAAAACACCUCCAGAUUACCCAACAGCAUCUAUAGAAGUCCAUCUAAUAUCCUGUUAUUUCUAUAGAAAGUUGACAAAUUUUUCGGUGCAAGCUGCCCACCUAGUGGGAUCGCGACCAACUUUAAUAAUUUAAUUUUUUAAAAAAAAAUACGAGACUCUGCAUUGGGUGAUCAUCCUUCAACCAUUUUAAUUUAUAUUAUUUUCUUGUUUUUUCUCCUAGUUUUUCAUUUCUUGUGUUAAACAACAAAUCCAACUCUUUAUCUCCCUUAAUUACCCUAAUUAUUUUAGGUUUUAUCUAUGAUGUAAAAUCCAAACUUUACAAUUAAUAUAGCCAGCUUGUAUCCCACCAUUCCAUGACUCCUGAUUAUUAAGAGAUGAAGACUAUUUGUAUACUCCCAAUCCUUGACUUGGAUAUUAAGUUAGUUUAGAUUCUCAUAAAUUUGAAAUUUUAAAGUAGGAUCUUUUUUAUAUACCGGUCAUGAAUCUAGAAAUUAGAUUGUUAUAAAUUAAGUGCGUUUUAGGAGGAGUAUUUGUAAACUAAUUUAAAUUGCAAUUCUAAAAGGAAAAUAAAGUAUUUUUCAUGAUUAUUAGAAUACUUGUUUUAGGGUUUCAGCUAUGAACCCAUUCUGAUAACUUCUUUUUUUUAUGAAAUACAGAGAUAUAUUAUUUUGCACCAUUAUGUGCUUCAAAAAAAUUAUUAUAUUCCAUGAUUAAAAAAAUGUCAGACUCUGCAUUGGGUGAUCAUCCUUCAAUGCAUUUCUAAUUAUUUUUACUAACUGUGCUAUUUCAAAAUAAACAUUUAUAUAAAAAGGCAGAAAAUUUAAUUUCGUUUUGAGAGGUGUAGACUAGGGGUAUGAGUGUUACUCUUGCAUAAAAGUUUGUACCAGGUGGCAAGUUUCUUUUGGACAGGUACAAGUAAGAAGAUUGAAUAUUCAAUUGCGUCCUAAGAGCGGUUGAACAGUACUAUCAACGAAGAUUGAAUAUUCAAUUGCGUACUAAGCGGGGUUGAACUUCGUUUUCUUCUUCUUGUUUUUUUUUUUUUUGGUAAUAAUCGAAUUUUAAUAAAAAGAAGCUAAAUAGCUCGAUGUGCAAGCUCUUUGAAACGAUACUGACAGUCCUUCCACUGCUAUAUCAAAAUUUAACUAUAAUCAACAUUAAACUUUCUUAUUUCUUCAAUUAACAUCCUGAUAACUCCAAGUUCAAAUAAAUCCCAAUACUAAUUAAUUCAUCAAUUAAACUUUUAAUUUCACAAAUUAGAUUAAUCCAAAAUUUAAUUAAAUUUUCAAACUUUCAAUUUAUCAUCUUAACUCAAAUUUCAAUUUAUUCUAUUUUCAUUUUUUUCAUCGUCAUUUUUAUUAUUUUUAUAUAAAGUAAGAAAAAUAUGAAGAUUUGUGUUAGGUACUAUUUAUUAUUUCUUUCUUUAGACGUGACAAAUGAUGUUAUUUGAUCUUUCAGGACGAGUUUGGUUUGAUUGUGGAAAUUUUGUUCAUCAUUAUUGUACGGUCUUUGUGUUGGAAUUUGGAUUGUUUAUUACUCUCCAAAAAAAAUAUGUAGUAGAAAGGAAAUUGAUACAAAUGAAGGCAAUAAAUUACAUGAUUCAUGACAUUCACCAAGUUCAUCUAAAAUGAUGCUUUGGACGGAAUAUCUAACAUAGACUUGAUUAUUAUAUUUUGCCAAACAAGUUGCUUUUCACAAACGCCCAAGUAUACUGUAAAAAUUCAGCCAAUAACAUUUCUGUGAACCAUUAUAUCUUCCAAUUCCAUCGUGGAGAAUAGCUUUGGCCAUCAAGUUGUAAGCUCUGUAGAAACGUGUCGCAUUGUUGGCCGAUAAUGGGGAUCGGUCUGCAAGCAAGCAAACACCAGUUUUGCAACAUGUGCCACACCGUCAGCAAGUUUGUUUUCAGGAGGUGGGAGGCGCCGGUCUAAGACAUCCUUCAAGACUGUAUUGUGACCAAUUGGUGAUGAUGAGGAGGUGGAAGCAGAUAACAUCAGAGAUGAGAUGAAAUCGCCAGGAUUCUUUCCCAUCAUUACUUCCAAUGUUAAUACUCCAAAGCUAUAAACAUCAUAUUUUUCAUCCACUUUCAUUGUGUAUGCCAACUCUAAAGAGACUGUAAAGACUUUGAAUAGACUGUAAAGACCCCAUCUCAGCAGGAAUACUCCCUGUCAAUCUAUUCUUGUUGAUAUUCAAGAAUAUCAGUUUUGAGCACUUACCAAGCUGUUUAAGAAUUGUUCCGCUAAAAUUGUUCGCGGCCAGGAUGCUUUCCCAUCAUUACUUCCAAUUGGUGAUGAUAAAAUUAUUUUAAUAUAUUUUUAAAAAGCAACUAACACUAUCAAAUCAUACGCUACCUUGCAGACACUAUCUCAAAAUAUGCCAUAGGAGAAAUCUAUUCUCUUUCAAUAGCAAAUGCCAUUAUUCCUCCACCAAACAGAGACUGGGAGAAUACUACUGCAGUCUUCUGGUUUGAUAGAAGACAAAAGUUUUGGCAAUCAUGAUCCUACGUGGACAACACGGAUGCAAUCAAAGAAUGCAUUGCUGUGAUCUUUCUGUGCCUUUUCUUUACUUAUUUUAACACAAUCACUUAAACAAUUAUUUUGGAAUAUGGUCCCUGCACUUGUAAUGCAAAUUACCCAACACGAUAAUAUUAUUCCCACCUGUCCAUCCAUGGAGUUUUUUAAUCGUAUCCUUCAUCCACCAAGAAUCUUGAGAGAGAGAAAAAUAAUAGCGAUGGAAGAAAAAACUCAACAUGUAAUUUUAUACACGCAUGGCACAGGUCAACCAAGAUUCAAAGGUCAUGCCUUGCCAAAAACCUCAUGAUUUCAGUUCAGAAGAAAACAACAAUACUCCAGGGGAUGAUUAAUUUCUCCUGCAGACCAGGAUAUUGUAAGAACUGACAGAAACAAAUUUACGAGCCUUUGACAAUGCAGAGCUCCCUGUGCAUCGCGCGUAAAGAAGGAGAUUUGAUGGUAUGGCAGCAUGGACAUGCAUGGAUUCUGCAGAUGGUGCUUGGUGGUCAAGAUCUAAUUAAACUUAGGCUGGCCAUCCAAUAGAAAAGUUGAUUGAUCACAUCAAAGAGGUCCUGAUCACAGCAAAAUAAGAUAGACAGUUGCGUCUGAAGAGGUGUAGAAUACUAUGGUCUUCCAUUCAUGACUGGAUUUCUUUGGGUUUCAGCUAUGGUGAUGUUUCCCAUGAAAUUCAUGUCGUUAAUUUGCUGUUGGUUCGAAAGGAGAUUAGGAGCGUUCUUGGCACUUCUUUGAACUGAUUUUAUUUUGUUUGUAGAAAUUCAUCUCUCUAGCUCUCUCAGCCUAGCCUCUGUUUAACAUGAUCCGCGGAAAGUAGUCGUAAUUCUAAAAUUAUUUUUAAAAUUAUCAGCAGUAUGUGUAGACUAAUACGGGGAUUAUUGUAUAAUUUUUCAUUUUCAUUUCGUGAACAUUUUGUGUGACAAUCAACAUUAAUCAAGAUGGAAUAUUCAAUUGCGUCACAGAAGGAGUACGUGGAGACUAAUUUAAAUUGUCGUUCUAGAAUACUUGUGUUGGGGUUUCAACUACGGACCCAUUCUCUGAUUAUUUUUGUUUAUGAAAUAUAAGAAAUAUAUUAUUUUGCACCAUUAUGUGCUUAAUAAAAUUAUUAUAUUCCAUGAUUAAAAAAAAUACGAGACUGUGCAUUGGGUGAUCAUCCUUCAAGGAUUUUUUAUAUUAUUUUCUUGUUGUUUCUCCUAGUUUUUCAUUGCUUGUGUUAAACAACAAAUCUAACUCUCUUUAAUCUUUAUCUCCCUUAAUUACCCUAAUUAUUUUAGGUUUUAUCUAUGAUGUGAAAUGCGAAAUUUACAAUUAAUGAUAGCUAGCUGAUUGGUAAGAGAUGAAGACUAUUUGUAUAAUGCCAAUCAUUGACUUGGAUGUUAAGAGGGUUUUUCUCCUAGUUUUUCAAUUAAUAAUAGCUAGCUUGUACCCCACCGUUCCAUGACUCCUGAUUAUUAAGAGAUGAAGACUAUUUGUAUCCUCCCAAUCCUUGACUUGGAUGUUAAAAGCGUUAUUACUUUUAUAUUUUAAAAGUGUUUUAAGAAAAAUUAUUAUUAUUAUUUAUAUUUUUAGAUUGAUUUGAUGUGUUGAUAUUAAAAAUAAAUUUUAAAAUAUAAAAUAAUAUUAUUUUAAUGUAUUUCAAAACAAAAAAAGCACUUCAAAAAAAAUCAUUGUCACAAUCACUACAACAUUUAAUAAUUUUAUUGGCAGAAUUUUUUUGUCGGCGUGAGAUUUACGAUUCCGUCGGUGAAAGUUUUACUAACUAAUUUAUUGAUGGAAUCCGUCCGUUGAAAUAACAUUUGUUGAUAGUUUCAUUAUUUAUCACUAAUUAUGGUGGUAAAAAAACCGAUAGUUUUACGUACAGAAAAUAAUAGUUAAAAAAAUAAAAUUCGCUUAAUUUCACCAGUAUUUCCCUUGAAAAAAUUGACAUAUAACAAAAAAAAUUGGAAUGACAAUAUUUACAUGCAUGGUUAGCCUUCAGACGAGAGCCAUGGAUGAAAACUUGUAGAAAGAAAAUUAGGAGCAUUGGCCACCAGUGAGCUGUAGAUAUUCAAGUCAAUCACAAGUCAUCCCACUACAAGACUUUAGGAUAGGACCAAUAAUUGAAACCAAUAAAGGUUCUGUUGGCAAUUAAAUAUAUAUUGAUGGUAUAAUUUUACGAUUCAACUCACGAUGUUGAACACCAUUGAUUUUGUUGGCAAAAGAAAAGGCAAAGAAACAGCUCUUAAAGAAAAAAGCAAAUCAAGUACGUCAUAAAUGAUACUAGGCAGAUGAAGUCAAGAUCUGGUUCUGUUGGCAAAAGAAAAGGCAAAGCAAAGCAGAACAAUCCAACAAACUUACAGCUCAGAGAGUGAUUUGUGACUAUUAGUCUGGCUGCCAUUCUACAGCCAUUGGUGAAAACAAUCAGGCAGAAAAUAGACUGCUCUGGCGCCCUUUUCUUCUUCUUUUAAUUUUAUUAUUAUUUCUUUCUUCUUCUUCUUUUUUUACAUUAGGGCAAUUUUCUUAGAAUCUCUGACAAUUAUGUUUCCGGAACAGUUUGUAGGAUAUGAACCUAACCCCACAAAUUGAGGUGACUUAAAAAUAACAUUCGUAUGCUCAAAAUGAAAAAAGAAAAAGAAAAACGAGAGUAAAGAUGCAAUACUUUUCAUCGGUUUUCCUUUGUGUGUAUAUUCAUUUCCAUCUUGCAUGGGAGAUCUAUAACUGAUAAAUCGGUGUAGAGGUAUUCUCAAUACUCGUCAAGUGACUUGUUGAAGAUUUUACUUGAGGUUUUUCCAAAAGUAUAUGUUCAUGUUAAGCAGUUUCAAUUUCCUUGUUCACUUUUUUCAAAUUCCUUGUUCUAAGCAGUUUCAAUUUCCUUGUUCACUUUUUUCAAAUUCCUUGUUCACAGUUUCCCAGAUCGAUUCAGCAAAAACAUUCAGUUCCUGUAUGUCACCCAUAGUGUACGCAUCCUGCGGCUGUUUCUGGGAACAUAAAUUCAACUUGUAGAUCCAGUGGAUGAGGUUUUGAGGUCUGGUGGUCGUUAUACUCUGAACUACCACAGUUUGUUCUAUUUCCAGAAAUUUUAUUCUUCAAUAUAAACAUAAUCAUAUUGUGUUAGUAUUUGGCUUUGUAUAUCAUAAUAAAAAGUUCUUAGUUUAUUGUAAAAUAAUUAUUCAAUUUAAAAAUUUAAACUCUAACAUCAAUUUAAACAACCAUUCAACCUAAAAAUAUCCCUUAAACUACAAGUAAAAGCAGAAACAAAUCAAAUAAUAAUAAUAAUAAUAAUAAUAAUAAUCUCUCGAAUUAAAUCAAUUAAUACCAAUUCCUAUGUUUCAAAUCAACUGCCACAACGUUCCUAUUCGUCUUGAAAAUUGCUUUCUACGGGAACAGCCUUUUUAUCCACAACAGACGCUUCAUGAGGGUCUCGUAACUUCUGCUUUGCUUCAAGUAGUCCAUUAUUAUUAGACUUCAGUUUUUGAAUCCCCACUUCACUGGGAUUUUUUCAGCUGUUAUAUUCGACUAGGGUUCUGUUGGAGUUUGCCUGAGGGCUAAGGUAAGGUAUACGAGAACAUCUUUCUUUAGUUGUUGCGAAGGGCUUUGGAUGUUCUUUUUUUUGGAGUUUCUUGAUCUUGGAAAGAUACUAACGGAUUUUCUCAGAGAAGCAGGGAUUGGCAACAAGGGUGUUCUAGAGUGUUGUAGAUUCUUAUCCAAGACUUGUAUCAUUUGAUGAUGUCAUGUGAAUUACUAGAAAUAUGUAAAGUGUAUGGCUAACCCAAUAAUGAAAGUUUCGUAAGGAACUGAAGCAGGCAACCAUGAGGCAAGAUCUAUUAGAUUUUUUGAAGCCCAGAGGGAAAGAUACAGAGACGCUCUGUUUUUGUUUGAUAAACAUAGACUUUUUUUUACUGUAGGUUUGGCCUUGUCUCAAUUCAGGAAAUCCCACUUAUAAUUCAGCAUAAUCGCGUAAACCCUUGAAAACUUUUGAAAAUUACAAAAUGUUUUGAUGCCAAGGCACGUUGGCCUUCCAGGUACAAAAUUAACCUGAACCUUGAAAUAAAAUUAUGCCUACAAUUCUACAACAGAGUUUUUGAACAGAAGCAGCAUUCCUAUCACAGGGCUGGGAAGAAUAGGGGGACGAUCCAUUCAAGAGUUAAGACCUUGCAGUUUUGAAUUUUUAAUACGAGGUUUUUUAGAUUCAAAUCCUGGAAAAGUUCGAGGGGGUAGAGAUUUGAGAUUAGAGGAUAUGGCUUUGUCCUAUUUUUAAUACGAGGUUUUUGCAACGUGUGAUUUAAAGAUUUGUGUUAGGUAUUACUUAUUUGUUUGUUUCUAAGAGGGAAGCCCUCUUUAGACCCGGAGGAUUAAGUAUGGAAUUUCAACGUGACAAAUGACGUUAUUUGAUCUUUCAGGACGAGUUUGGUUUGAUUGUGGAAAUUUUGUUCAUCGUUAUUGUACGGUCUUUGUGUUGGAAUUUGGAUUGUUUAUUACUCUCCAAAGAGAAAAUGUAGUAGGAAGGCAAUUGAUACAAAUGAAGGCAAUAAAUUACAUGAUUCAUGACAUUCACCAAGUUCAUCUAAAAUGAUGCUUUGGACGGAAUAUAUAACAUAGACUUGAUUAUUGAAUAUUACAUUUUGCCAAACAAGUUGCUUUUCACAAACGCCCAAGUAUACUGUAAAAAUUCAGCCAAUAACAUUUCUGCGUACCAUUAUAUCUUCCAAUUCCAUCUUGGAGAAUAGCUUUGGCAAUGGAGGCCAUCGAGUUGUAAGCUCUGUAGAAACCUGUCGCAUUGUUGGCCGAUAGUGAGGAUCGGUCUGCAAGCAAGCAAACGCCAGUUUUGCAACAUGUGCCACACCGUCAGCAAGCUCAUUUUCAGGAGGUGGGAGGCGCUGGUCUAAGACAUCCUUCAAGACUGUAUUGUGACCAAUUGGUGAUGAUGAGGAGGUGGAGGCAGAUAACAUCAGAGAUGAGAUGAAAUCUCCAGGAUGCUUUCCCAUCAUUACUUCCAAUGUUAAUACUCCAAAGCUAUACAUAUCACAUUUUUCAUCCACUUUCAUUGUGUAUGCCAACUCUGCAAAAGCAGUUGGUCAUGCUAUAUUUUGCCAAAAUAUAUUUUGUUUUCAAGUGAUUUUGUAAACUAACCUACUGUAGAAGGUGAUAUUGAAACUUAACGACAUACCUGGAGCUGUGUACCCAAAGGUGCCAGCAAAUGAUGUCCAAUUGGAUGAGUCAGGCAUUAAGAGCCUGGCUGUGCCGAAGUCAGAGACAUGAGCCUCAUAUUCUGAAUCCAAAAGAACAUUGUUGCUGGAAAUGUCUCUAUGAAUAAUCGGAGGGGAGCAGUCAUGGUGCAUGUAGGAUAAAGCAUUGGCUACGCCUUUGAUAAGAUUCAUCCUUUUAUCCCAAUCCAUCUUUCCUGCUUGUUCCUCGUCGUUCAGUACCUUUCUUAAACUUCCCCUUUCCACAAAUUCAUAUACCAAAAAUGAGUGUUUGGCAUGCGAGCAGAAACCAUACAGCUUCACAAUAUUUCGAUGUCGUAUACCCAUCAAGACAUCAAUCUCGCUUCUAAAAGCUUUCAAGCUGCUCAUCUCAACUUCUGGUGUUUGGUGGAAUUUCUUCACGGCAAGGAUUUGUUCUGAUGGAAGUGCAGCUUUGUAUACAACUCCAUACCCUCCAGUACCAAUGCAAUAUUUGGAGUCGAAUUCCUCAGUAGCCUCAAUUAUUUGGUGUUUCCACUAACCUUUUCUUUCUUCUGCUUUGGAAAAAGAUAAGAAAACCUACAAUCAGGCCCAACAAACUACCCAGCAGAGAAAAUACAGUCAUAAAGACAACUUUGGGGCCCUUUUUGUGCAUAGUUUUGUUUUUCAUGAGAGCUGAACAAGCCUCCAAACCAGUAGCAUUGCCACACAGGUUGGUGUUGUUGCGAAUUGCUUCAAAUGGUGCCUCGCGAAAGGCUUUGAUGUCAGGAAUGGGGCCCUCUAGCUUGUUAUAGGAUACAUCCACUUCAGUGAGGCCUUGCAGCCUACUAAAACUGGUUGGAAUUAGACCAGACAGCAUAUUAUGGGAGAGGUUUAAUACCUCUAGCUGCUGCAUCUGUCCAAGCUCGGGCGCUAUAUCUCCCAUCAGGGAAUUCCAACUGAGAUCAAGACUUUGAAGAGACUGUAAAGACCCCAUCUCAGCAGGAAUACUCCCUGCCAAUCUAUUCUUGCUGAUAUUCAAGAAUAUCAGUUUUGAGCACUUGCCAAGCUGUUUAAGAAUUGUUGCGCUAAAAUUGUUCGCGGCCAGGCCAAGCCUUUGGAGAUCAGAUAACGAUGCGACAUCCAAAGGAAUAUCACCUGAAAGUCUGUUAUCGCUGAGUGCUAGUUCAAUCAACUUCAAAUUUCCCAAUUCUUCGGGAAUUCUCCCAACUAGUUGAUUUGACGACAGGUCAAGAGCUUGUAGAUGAGUUGCCUUUCCAAGAGCUGCUGGUAUUUCUCCAGAAAUCUUGUUUCCAGAAAUCUUGAAGGUUGUCAGAUUGUUAAACUGCUCCCAUUUCAAUGAAAGUUCACCAUGCAACUCAUUAUCACUCAAAUCCAUGUAGUGCAAAUGAGGAUGUGUGCCAAAAGCUUCAGAUAUGUUUCCACUAAGUUGGUUUCUCUCAAGUCUGAGUCUCACCAAGCUGCUGCAAUUUUUCAAGCUUUUUGGGAUAGGUCCCGUGAAAUAAUUGUUCGCCGCAGCAAACUUUGAAAGUAAUCCACCAAGGCACACAU
RNAcentral lists this long non-coding RNA (44340 nucleotides) under Populus tremula. RNAcentral describes it as "long non-coding RNA (PTRE_LNC003426)". Lineage: Eukaryota; Viridiplantae; Streptophyta; Magnoliopsida; Malpighiales; Salicaceae. The record is from RNAcentral.